This 44542-nucleotide long non-coding RNA is filed under the name Ananas comosus (pineapple). Its description in RNAcentral is "long non-coding RNA (ACOM_LNC028368)". Lineage: Eukaryota; Viridiplantae; Streptophyta; Magnoliopsida; Poales; Bromeliaceae. The record is from RNAcentral.
CUGUAUUGUCAAAAGUACAUAGGCAUUCGUACUGGUAAGUUAUCUACGAUGAUGAAAUUUUUGAUUUGGCAAUCGGUUUCGUUAAACAUAAUCUCCGUUAUUGGAAUUAUCUGAAAAGCAAAUUUCAUAAUUUUUUAACUUCAUUUGUCCAGUGAACAAAUAACCUUAAAAUAAACGGCUGAAAGUAAAAAUCUUAUAAACAAUAUUGAUAAAAAAAAUUUAAAUAAGAAGUAUUGAUAUUACUAUUAAUGUUAAAUGAAAAUUUUUGUUAAAGUUUCAUAUAAUUUAGAUUGUUCUACAUCGUUGAACUUAAAAACGUGUCACAUCAUUAUUUUUGAAAACUUUUGAGUUGGUAAAUGAUGUCGAAAAUUUAUGAAAUUUGGUUUCUAGAUAGUUCUAAUAGACUAGAUUAUGUCUAACAGAGUCAAUAGUCAAAUCAGAUAUUUUAUUAUCAAAAAUAAUUUAUAAAUACGAAGGCCUUGGUAUUUUUGAAAGUAUAUAUAGGAGACAUACUCAAAAUUUUGGACAUAUAUAGAGCUAUUUUAUUGUACAUCAACAAUUGAUAUGUAUUAAUCCACCCUACCUAGCAUAAUUAGCAUAGGACUUGAUGAUUUGGUACAUAUUUGAGAUUAUAAGUUUGAGUCUUAAUUAUUUUAUAUUUUCAGUUGAGACUAUUUAAAAAAAAUAAACGGAACAGAUAAUAUUUUAUCCUUCUCUUUAAAAAAGGAAAAGAAAAGAUGAAAUGUAUUCCAUUGCUAAUGAGUAGUGAAAUCGCACCCUGCACCCGAGUAAGUAGGGGGUCCAUAUGUGCUCAUGAGUGGGGAGAUGCUUUCACAAAGAGGAGGCGGCAAGGGAAUCGGAGAAAAUUAGAAGUGUGGGAAAUGGAAAUGGUGGUGGAGGUGGGUACGUGGGCUUUAAAUAAGACAAUCGUGCCUUACAUUGUUUAGUUUUUAAGAGAUAGAUAGUAUACCACCCGCUUUAUUUUAUUUUAUUUAAAAAUAAAUUUAGCUGAAAAUGUGAAUUAAUUUGGAUUUAUUAUUGAAACGCCGGAUACUAACCACCAAGCUCUUUGUCAUUUGCGUUAGGAACGGUCGGUUAUUCUAUCCUAUAGUUGGAAGGUAAUUAAAAUUAAGGAGAACUUACAUAUUUUUUAGAAGGAAUUCUUUGUUUAUUGAAAAAACGAAAUUUACCAAUCUAGUCUCAUUUUCAAAAUAUUUUCUAAUUAAUCUAUCUUUAUUUGAACUGAUUAAGAAAACAAAGUUUCAAAAUUUACUUUUAGUGAUAAUUAAGAGAGAUCUUUCUCUCUCUUCGCCUGCUACGUACGUACCCCACCUAUCAAAUGAUACUAGAAUAGCAUCAUUUGAUAUCAGAAUUUGUAUGAAUGUACCGACCGUCUCUAAAGUAAGUGGCAAAAGGGCUGGGUGGUUGGUACCCGUGACCUAAAUUUGAAUCCUAGUUGAUUCACAUUUCCAGCUAAAUUUAUUUCUAAAUGAAAUAAACGAAACGAAUAGCGUGCUACCUAUUUCUCAAAAAAAAGAAAAAAGAAAAAAAGAAUCUUGUAUAAAUGUAACAUGCUAGCCAAAAGAUUUAGUAAAAACGAUGGACGCAAAGUUUGCAGGAAAAGAAGCAAUCGGUAGUCGCUUCUCAAAAGAUCGAGUCGGAGGUAAACAAUUUCAUUGGUGCUGUUGAUGCUUAUUCACUUAAAUCUAAACUGAGGUGAAAACCAUCGCAAAUACCAUCAACAAUCUCAAAACUAAUGUUGCAAUAGAUACGAAGAUCAACGACCAAUUUUGCCUACUUUGGUAUCUACAUCAGCUAUAGAUAAUUCCGUACGUGCAUGUUAGGUUUUAACGGAGGGUUUAAUCAUAAGCUGGAAACCCAAAAAAUUAUGUUUGUAUCAUUUCACAUUGAAGGAAAAACUUUACAGUGGUUUUAACGCUUUGAAAAGAGCUGUGGUCUAGGCGAAGUUUGUAGAAGUCCUUUGUACUUGUUUUGGUUCAACUAUAUAUGAGAACUGUAUAAACAAGUUAACAAAAACUACAAUAAAUUAAGUCCUACGCUUCUAAAUUACCCAUCAUCAGCUUUGUUCAUCUACAAGAGGAGAAAUUGAUAACUCAAUGUCCAUUAUAAAGCCUUCUCUCUUUUCUACUUCUGCGACAUCAAUAUCUAAGGAGGCGGUUCCGUCUAUUAAAUACCUUAUACCAGUUGAAGCAAGAGAAAGGUUCCAUCAAAUUUUUAACUCUUGAUUAUCAUUAUUUCACUGUUCUUAUUAAUUUAUAGGCAUCCAAGUAUCAAAUUGAUAGUAAAUACUAUUCUCUUACUAUCAGUAGCAAUUCUAGCGCGCGUUCUCUAUAUAUAUAUAUAUAUAUAUAUAAUAUAUAUAGAUAGAGAGAGAGAGAGAGAGAGAGAGAGAGAGAGAGAGAGAGAGAGAGAGAGAGAGAGAGAGAGAGAGAGAAGAGGAGAGAGAGAGAGAGAGGCCGCGUUCUAUAUAUAUAUAUAUAUAUAGAGAGAGAGAGAGAGAGAGAGCUAGGCUCGUAUACUAUCGGUAGCACGGAAGCCUCCGUGCUACCAAAUUGUUUUCAAUGAUGCGCCUUCUAAAUCGACGAUCGGUUUCGUUAGACUUGAUCUACACUAUUAAAAGUAUUUGAAAAUUAAAUUUCAUAAUUUUUCGGCAUCAUUUACCUAUCAAACGAAUAGUCUAAAAAUGAAUGGCUGAAAAUAAAAAUCUCAUAAAAAAUGAUGAUAAACGACUUGAAUUUAAUAUUAUAGCUACUAAUCUUACUCUAAAUAGUGAAAAGAAUUUUCUAUAAAAAAUUCAUCAGAUUUGGAUUGUUUUACACCGUUAAAUUCAUAAACGCAUCAAAUCUAUCAUUAAAAUUGUCAAUUUUGAGACAUUUUAAUCACUAGUCAAAUAAUGUCGAAAAAUUAUGAAAUUUAAUUUUCAAAUACUUUUAAUAGUGUAAUUCAAGUCUAACGGAGUUGAUCGUCGAUUUGGAAGCCACAUCAUUGAAAACAACUUGGUAGCAUGGAGGCCUCCGUCCUACCGAUAGUAUACUAGCCUAGCUCUAUAUAUAUAUAUAUAUAUAUAUAUAUAUAUAUAUGCUUACAAAACGUGCAUGUUUAGCAUGCGAAUUGUCAGAGUCAUGAAAUCGUACAAUCACCUUCAUCAAGCCAUCUCACCAACUCCAGAUAUGUUUCACUCCCAUCUAAUAAAGAACUCUGUUGUGCGGCCCAACUCGACCACCUGUUUGGGCUUUCAGAGUAUACAGCCAGGACCUUCGAAUGAACAAUCCUGAAUUAAAAACAUCCAAUAGGACUAAGACUUAAUAUAGGGAGUACGUUAAAAUUAUCUGAAACCUAGGUGCACACCUCUCCAUAUCUGCUUCAGCCGAGAAGAUAGAAAGUUUUUGACUAAGCUCCAAUCAUUCCUGCGAACAGCAAGUAAUUGAACACAGAAGUUUUAAUUGACAGUACAAAAGAAACAAAAAGAAACUCGAUUCUAAUUGCAUUGAAUUACUUGAUUGACCGACAGAUGAUAUUAAAAUAAGAAACUACAUAAUGUAUGGCUGAAAAAUCCGCUCUUUUCAGCAGACAAAUUGACACGGACAUGAAGGAAUGGUGGCCCAUUUUAACAAAGUUGAACAGAUAUCAAAAAGUUUAAACUAACAAAAGCAUACCAAUAUAUUAGGCUCAGACAUAUACCUAUCAGAAGAUAUCUCACAUGAGAUAGAGAAAAUCUAAAUCCUUUCUAAAUGCACGUGUGAGAGAUAAUUUUCUUUCUUCGGCAUUGUUACAAAAAUUAAUAAAGUUUUUUAUCAAAACACUGCUCAGUGGAUUCAAACCAGCAAAGAAUGUGCUCCACGCCUCCACCCAUAGAGCAGUAGAGCUGAAACAAACAAUAUAUCUUGUACCAAAAAUAUAUCUUAAUAAAAUUACAAAAAGUAGAAGUUUUUCAGACUUAAGUGCAAAGCCGACAUAUAAUAGAAAUAACAUUCUACACCAAUACUUUGAAUCAAAGUUGAUGACAUUCCAUACCAAUACUAUGAAUCAAAGUCGAUAACAUUCUUUACCAAAAUUUUGAAUUAAAGUUUGCAAAUUUAUGCCACAACUUCCCAGUAGUGGAUAUCACCUCCAUUAUGCUUUCUUCAGGCUGAAAUCAACUUUGGGCUCCUCAUCCAUAAGGAAGAAUAAAUUACACAAAACUAAGGGUACAAUUCUGUGCCAUAAAACAUGUUAUCAGAAGGAUAUGAAAUUCAAAGAAAAUGGUNNNNNNNNNNNNNNNNNNNNNNNNNAAAAUUUAUUAUAUUUUAAUAUAAACUCUCAAUUUAAUCAUAAUACCAUAGGAUAUUAAAAAUUAAACAUACUUGGUUUGUUACCUUACCCUUAUUGAGUAAGGUUAAAAGUUAGGUGUUUACUUGGUUUGUAGAACCCUCUCACCCGGAACCCUACAGUUACCCAUACCUAUGGGCUUUAAAAUAGGCUUAGGCUUGGGCUUACUUUGCCUAUAUAGAAAACAGAGUACUAGAACAAUAACUAAGCCUAUACCCAGAGGUAUUAGCUUUACGCCUAUACCUAAGCCUAUACCUAAAACUAACAUGGGCUGGGCUUGGGCUUGGGCUUGGGCUGGGCUUGGGCUUAAAUCAAACAUGAACAUAUAGUAAAAAUAAACUUAAACAUAAAAUAUUAAGGAAGUUAUAAAAAAACCCAGAUAAAAUAUAUUAUACAAAACUUAGUAUCGAACAUUAAAUGCCUAGACUAAAAAAGACCAAGCCCAAGACACUCAAGCUCACGAUAAGCCAUAAAAUGACAAACCCAAGACCAAAAUCUACUACCUAAUAUAAUUUUAAGCAGCCCAAGCCAAAACCACAACGCCUAGAGUCACAAACCGCAGCCCAAGCCAAAGCCCAAAAAUCUCUAGUCGCGGCUUAGGCUGGGCAGACUGUAAAAAAAAAAAAAACCCACCGUUAGGACUGAGGUCGAAAACAGCUUAGGCGGUCGAACAUAACCUCGAGCUGAUAAGCGAGCUCUAACUCAGAGAGCAAAUAAACGUGCCGCAGCGUGUGCACACCCCUAGUCGAGCGAUCACAAGACGAGCUAUUGAUCGACCUAUAUGUAUAGUAAAAUAUAAAUAUAUAAAAGGUAAAUGAAAUAUAAAAAUAUAUAGUUACAAAUUAAUAUAUAGGUAUUAUAUAUAAAAAUAAUAAAUAAAAAAACGUUUUAUUUUUAUAUUUCCGCUUGAGUUAAUAUUUUUUUUUGAGUAAAUAUAUAUUUCAAAGUUGAUAAUCUAGUUUCAGAUUGCCCAUGUUAGAGUAUUUAAAUAAAAGAUAUAUAUAGGAAAGACUAGGAAAAUUCAAUAACAAUCACUCGGUCGAGCACUCGGUCGAGCAUAAGCCGAACAAAUAAUUGCUUGGCUUGUGCUCGACUUAAAACAUCGAACUAUGAAAUUGCUCGGUAGAGCACAAGCGGAGCAAAUAAUUGCUCGGCUUGUGCUCGACUUAAAACAUCGAGCUAUGAAAUUGCUCGAUCGAGCACAAGCCGAGCAAAUAAUUCGCUCAGCUUGUGUUCGGCUGGGUCGAGCGAGUACAAGCCGAGUAAAUGUGAGGAUCCCAAUCUACUAGGUUGAUACUAAAGUUACGGUUGGUAACUUGAGUUCAUAAAACGUGAUUAUUAAACUCGUAUGGUAAUACACAGGCUACAAUGUGGUUUAUACGCACUUACUAUAUUUAGAGUAGGGAUAUAAUAAAGUGGGAUUAACCAUUAAAAAAUUUUUUUAGAAUAAGGUAAGUUAAGCUAGUCAGCUCGUCCAAGUGUUGUGUAAACUGUAUCUUCUAGACCUCUAUGUCGGUAUUGAACGUUAUCUUUGAUGGUGUUCUAAUCAAGUCUUUGUGACGGAUCGUUUCAACCAACCAUAGGGCCUAGAAGCUAGUUCUCUAGCCCAAAACUAGGUACGUACCCUCACAUUUUUUUUUUUUAAACUCCACUAAAUCAGGAGCUUAAGAACCCUUUGCACUAAAUUGAGAAACUUUGAUGUUGUUUUAGUUUAAGUCUAUGUGACAGAUCGCGUCAACCAACCAUAGGGCCUAGAAACUAGAUCUCUAACCCAAAACUUGGGGUGUGCACUCAAAUCUUUUACUCCACUAAAUCAGAGGCCUAAGCACCCAUUGUACUAACAAGGGGGCUUUGAUGUCGCUCUAGUUAAAUCUGUCUAACAAAUCGUGUCAACCAACCAUAGAGCUUAGAAGCUAGUUCUCUAGUCCAAAACUAGGGGGCGUACGCUCAAAUUUUUUACUCCACUAAAUCAGGGAUGGUUUUUUGUCUUUUUUUUUUUCUUUCUUUUUUAGUCUAGGUCAUUCGUGUUUUAGACGGAGGUUUAUUCGGUAUGUUGUUAACUACGACGUUAUCUAACCUUUACAUAAAUGUAGUGUUCCCCUUUUCUUUUUAUUUUCUCUGUUCUUGAGUACCGGGGAAGGAGUUCCCGGAAAACUGUUUUAAGGGGAGUGUCGAUCUCUAUUUUUUAACUAAACUUUUCGGUAUUAGAUCUCUUGUCGUGUCUCGUUACAAUAAGGAUUUGAUCAAGUGAUGAAGUGAGAUGUCGAGUAAUAGAAGACUCUUUAGUUGACGACGACGAAGACCAAAGCUAUUUAAACAGCGGAGGACCUCGUACGCUAGAAAGAUACGCAUUCGGCCAAGGUGCCCCUUUUAGUGGAGGGACUUUUAGCGUUUUAUUUAGUUCAUUAAGAGAUGAAUAAUAGACUUAUCGAGGAGUUAGGCAACUUUAUCGAAUAACGACUUGGUCUUCCAACUUUGAAAGCAGUGGUUUCACUGGAGGCUGCUCAACAAGUUGAGUAGUUACAUUAAGGUGACGCUUUAAACUAGAAAAUCGACGUUUUUAAACCUCUUCGUCUCUAAAAAGGUGGAAAGCCGAACUGUCUUUUCGGUUUCGGCCAAUGUACUUCGAAAAUGAAUUCAAUGAGGCGGUUGUAAGCCUUAAGACUGAGGAAGUAUUGGGAAAUCACAGAGCUAUCACUUCAAGGGGUUGCGAAGUUUUUAGCCUUAGUCCGGGCGAGAGUUUAACCAGCGCGAGCGGAGAGCCUGAACAAAUUGCCGAAGGAGUACAAACCGGGAGAGGAGUAGAUUAGAGAAGAAGUUACGUAGGUUCGGGUGGUACGCCAGUAGCUAGCCGGGCAAUGACCGCUCUUAGUAUCGAUAAAAUAGUUGUAGAUGUCCGGGUAAUUAGGGCAUAAGGAAAACGUGUCUAAAUUCGGAAAAAGGUUUUAGAAACCUGUCUAUAAGUCAAAAGUCGAAGACUACGACGAGGUGCAGGACGAAGAGGGUAUUCGACACGUGUAAAUAUCGCUUUCGAGCGUAACAUAGAUAAUGUGGUAAAAGCCUAUAGGAAAGGUCCCAAACUGUGGUUAGUAACCGUCACUACUUGUGUCCUCCCCGAGGGUAAGCCGACCCUCUCUUACCAUGAAGAGGUAGUCCACAAAGAAGAAAGAGGACCUCUUCGGUAAAGUCGUUGGUCGGCAAUUCCCGAAGCUACAUUCGGAAAACCCAAACUUAGGUUAGAGACUUUGUGCUUCGGGUCAAGUCCUCGAGAUCGAGAUUGAGAUAGCAGCGGAAACUUCGUCUUGAAGCAUCUGGGGGUUUAAAACCAUAAUCCAAAACCCGAAACGAAAGUUGGUAGCGAACCUUAACGAACGCUACUGUCAGCUCCUGUUUGAAGGUGUAAGAAUAAUCAGACGUCUUUUUUACCGUGAAUUAGUGUUACAGUGGUACUUCGGUAUCUAUAGGGAUACAAUAAAGUACCUUGAUGUUCCUCGUUUAUAUACUGCUGAGAAGCCGGGUUACCUGGGAUGAUAAAACGAUUUUGUUUUAACACUUCAAGUUCCUUUUGUUUAUUUUGGACAGGUUUGUCUUCGACGCUAAGUAUAAUUAUAUAAAAGUGUAGUUGUACAUCUUCUUUGGACUACAAAAAUUGUAUACGUGUUUCUCUCCAACCAAAAGUUUAAAGUUAUGGGAACCUAAUUAAGCUACUCGACGCCGACGUUAAGUAGUAGAGAAUCGAACACUUAGGACGAUCUUUAUCGUAAAUGUCUAGACUACUGUUAUAAAUAAGAGCAGUGGUUGCGGAAAUAACUUCGGGCUCACCUUAGUUAAAGUACUCGGAGACGAGGUAAAAGUAGAUUACGAAAAUCAGCGAAGGUGAGAGAUAGUAUCUACUGGGAGUCUAAAAGAAGAAGGAUCUUGUCAGUGUACUAUUACAGUAAUCUUUGAUUAAAGUACUAAGAAGAAAAACGUGUGUUGUGAUUAGAGUCUCUCACUUUUUCCGGUUUUUACCGUCAACUAGGUUGGUAAAUUCGCCAAUAGGACGUAUGGUGUGUUUGUUGAUCACGAAUUAACACAAUAUCCUGCAUGGAAUUGAAGGAACAUUUCAAAAAAGAGGGUAAGUACGUUGGACAGGUUAUGACUACAUUCCAACGAUUCGAGUUUUAGUAAGUGGGAGAGCCUUAAACAUACUUAUCGGUAUAAGACGAAGUAUAGAGGUCAACUUACACCUCUCGAGAAGCUACAGGCUCUACUACAACGCCUUGCGUCUCUGUAUCUUAUGUUCUAGGAACUAUUCUAUUGACGUUACUUGAUAUAAAUUAGUUAAAAGACGUAUAAAAAGACUGUUACUUCGUAAAGAAAUUUUAUUUGCGUCCUUUUUAUGACCGUUUUUUUAAAGGACGCGUUUUCUACGUGUUCACGAUUUAUUCUUUUCGGUUACAUGAGUUAAGCGUUAAGUCUUAUAGCGGAUAUCUUGACAACAAAACGUUAUUAUACCUUGAACGAAGAUUGAAUUCGACUUUUCCGAAUUUGGAUUUUAAUCCUGUUAGUUAGUGUAGACGUUCAAAUGUACGUAUGAUUUCACCCGUUAUAUAAAUUCUAUAUUUCAGCUUCUUCACUUUAUGGGUGUAGAAUUUUAGAAUAAGGAGCUAGAUAUCGCGUCGGAGGGUUGGAGCUCUUAAGAGCUCUGGAGAAGUGGUGUUGAGCGACGCAUCAACUUGACAAGGAAAUAAAGGACGUGGUGAAGCCGCUGCAGAGAGCAGGGUACUUGUCUGUAAUGUAAGAGAAAUGAGCGAGCCGAUGGUAAUGAUUGGUUACUACAUAGCAGGAGCUUCGAGUGAGGAAAUUGGAAGCAGUGUACAUGAAGGAGGAAGAGGACGAGGAGGAAAUGUGAGGGAGAGCGAAGCGAUAGAAGGCUCCUCACUUAUGAGAGUAAGAGAUAUUGUUGAAGUAGUAAGUGGAGUAGGAGAAACACAAGGCGCCGAGGAAAACUUGAGGGUUGUGACCUUGGGAAGAAAGGACUCAGUGAAGGGCAGUGGAAGGAGAGAAAGCGACGAAGAAAGUGGCAGAGAACGAGGCAGAGCAGAAGGUUUAGUCCUUAGGGAAGAGAGAGGGAGUGGAGCGAACUUAAGCCCGAUGAACAGUUGCUUCAGCGGCGCAUGGGUGAGGCUAGUAUGGGGCCUUUGUUGACGAGUAUUCUUAACUUUUCUAACUUCUUUAGGGUUCUCCUCGGGAGACGACGGCGGCAGCCGCCGCCGCCACCUCGUCACCUAAAGCGAAGGGAAGCGCCUGAGCGGCCACGGCGUAAGAGUAUUUUUCAGACUAGAACUUGUCCUCCUUACCAUCUCGGGUACCUUAUUGGUAUUUAGCCUAUUAAUAGGAGCAUUAGCAUUGAGUGUUUACGAACUAACCUCAUUCAUCACAUCCCAAGAACCUUGUGACACCAACCAAAGCAGCUUGAGCUGAAGUACAUCACCAUUAACCCCUAGUGUAAAGGUUGUAACCUCUUUCCUCGUAUUCUUCCUCCUAUUCCUCCUCCUAUUCCUCCUAUUUUUCCCAUUCUUCCUAAUCUGGUACUUUUGGGAGGAGGAGGAGGAGGAGGUAUACGAAGAGGAACACCAUGAGGUGGACGAGGUUGGAGCUAAGGUGGUAAAAGGAGGCUCUAAAGCGGCACUAGGCUCAGGCUUACCCUUACAUCCACGCUUAGCGCGCUUCGCCUCGCUCUUUAGCUUCCCUCUCUUCUCCUCCUCCGGCGCGGAGGAGGCGGUGACAGCGGUAACAGCGGUAACGCGAGCCUAGGCAGCUAGAACCCGAACCUGAACGGGAAGGGGAGCCUCCCCCCCUCGCACUCGUGCCCGCUGCGGGGGCGGCGCCGGCGGAGGCGGCGGCGGCGCCGCCGCUCCGGGAGGACCUUUAUGAAAAAUAUAAUACUAUUCUCUAAUGAGUUUUCCAAAAAAAAAUAUCAAAUUUAUUUUAAAAAACUUUUAUGCAAGAAAAAAUUAUAAAAAUCUAGGAAUAGUAAUAAUUUCCCCAUAAAGCAUAAUUUCCCUUUCAAAUUUAGUAGUUUACCCAAAAAAUAAUAAUAAUUAAAAAAACAGUGGACAUGGAAAGUAAAUGAAAAUUACAUAACCACGCGCACUUCACAACAAGGUCACAAAAAUCUACCAACAAAAGCACGAUCUUUUAGAUUUCCAUUAACAAUUCACACUGUAAUCAAACAGAUCCACCACUCGAAACCCUCCUAGAAACCCUAAUCGCACCAAGAACUAAGUAGAUCGGAGACGAAUCUACAAGCAAGGGCGAGUAAAGAUCCAAUCGGAUCGGGCCUCACCUCGUCGCCACCCUGCUGCACCAACUCGCCGUGCCGCCCCGUCUCGCUAUCAUGCUGCCAAGUCUCGCCGCCAUGCUGCCCUACGCCGCCGCCGUGCCCCGUUCGCGGCGCCGCUAGGGUUAGGGAUAGGGUUUUGAGAGAGGGGUGAGAGGGGUGAGGGAUAGGGUUUUUAUUUUUUAUUUUCAUGAGAAGGGUGAGAGAUCGUAUACAAAGAGAGGAAGGUGAGAUGGUCUCAUGAGCUUCAAGACUUGGUGGGCUUCGGGAAUGAAAUCAAGUUGAAGGUUGAUGGGUCAUUCCCAUUCCAGUCAGGAAUAGGAAUCCCAAACCGAUUCCUGCGAAUCAAACAAAAUUAAUCGGAUUUGAUCAAACCGAUUCCCAUUCCAUAUGUCACGCUCUGGAUUCCUUGUUUUUCCGGGCACGCUAACAGACCCGCCGUAUACAUAGAAAUUUUUUCUGUAUACGAAGCGAAGCUGUACCUGUAUUUGUAAUUAUACAACACUACAGCCAGUAGUAUAGAGCUGCAGAAAAAAAAAACAACUGAACAAUAGAAGUUCACUAUACAUACAUAGCAUCCUAGUAUACAAAAAUUACUCGCUCUAGCGAGAAACAACAUCAGCAUGUAUAAUAAACCAAAAAUUACAACUACCUGCAGCUGGUACUCAUCUAGCUCAGCAACUCGACAGGAAGGGCUCUAACUUGCAACACCCUUUCCGCGAUCAGAAUCAGCAGUAGCAGCAGCCGCAACCGAAGGCUCUGCAAAAGAUUCUAACAACUGGGCGUGAGAACUACUGCAAAAAUAAGUAGUCCUCAGUGGGUACCGCCCUCAAACUCAUCGGCUCACCUACCAAGUCUACGGAUGUAUGCUCAAAUGAUAGUAAGGAAGCUGGAAACAAUCUACAACUAUAUGCCACUAUACUACCAUGAUCCGACACUACUAUCUGUAGAAUAAGGCAAGCUCUGACCCAAUCUUACUAGGGACUGUAAACAUGCCCGUCCCAGGGACUAUGAACACACCCGUCCUGCCUGUCGAAGUUAUACAGCUAUCUCCACACUAAGCAGUCCGUAGAGAGCAAGUCCAAACAUGACACAACGACACCAACGUAAAUGCACAAAGCCCGACUCUGAAGUGGCACUCGUGGGCGCUACCCAACUGAGUAUGCAAGCGUAUCUCUGUCGAGCUCAAUCAGGCUCUUACAGGCUAAGAUCGAAGUAAACAAGGUCCAACUGGUCUAACUACCAAACUCACGUGCCCUCGACACAAUCUGAUGCAAAAACAGCAAUCUGUGUCCACCGUCAACCUCAACGGUAUCCGACAGUCCGGAACAGCCUAAAUACUGCUGUAAAAAUAAGCUCGGCAUCUCAGCACGAGCGUAAAUACAUUUUACACUAUCCUGGAUAUCCACCGCCCACAAACUGCUGUGAUACAAACAAAUUACAGCUCCUGGAGCUAAAUCUGGUAGUUUUAACAUCUGACAGUGUAGAAGCGCUAGUUUUCUCCUAAAUCAAUUCCAAGUCCAACAUAUAUAAUUUAUCUAACUUACUACAACAUGCUCCAAAUUCAGAUUUUAUUUAACAUGUUAAUCGAUGAAUUCGAGCUAAACACAUGAUAUGCAACUAGCAGUACUGCUGAAAAUAUACAUGUUGACUACGCGUACAUUUAGGAGGAGAAUCCGAUGAUUAACCAACCUCAACACAAGCUCGACGACAGUCCGAACCUCUGGAAAAACUCUCGAAGUUAGCCGAGAUCACCUAGGUCCAGCAACAAAGCUACUCCAAAUAUCUUCACACUAAAAGCGUCAAACUUUCAAUAAAAAUCCAAAAUUCUGCACUUAAGCAUGAAGUAGCUUCAAUCAUAAUGUCAACUUCACCUUUCGAUCUUCAAAUCUGGUGAAGCAAGGUUCCAAAACCAAUAGACAAUGCUGGAGUAUCCUUCUCUGGUUCAAAAUCCGGCUCCUUCAAAGAAUUGCAUUGAAGAACACCAAAAUACUCAAAUUCAGCUUCAAUGUAGCAGCAGUCCAGAAGGACAGUAAUUCGACCAUACUAACCUCAAUCAAAUUUUGUCAAAUUGGGCUCCACGAAUUCUUCUUGAAGUCAAGAAUCCACCAAACCAAGUUUCGUGGCAAACGGAGUUUCCUACGUUGCACACGAGUCGAAACACCGAAGAUCGCCGCUAGAAAACUGCUAGAAUUGCAGCCCUCUAGUUGAAAGUGCACAAAUUGGAGGAAUUGAAGCAAUUUGAGGUGUUAGAUGCAAUUCUAAGCCUUUGAAAAAAGGAUGAAAAGGGUUCACCGGGGGCGUACAUAGCCUAUUUAUAGGGAGGUGAAAAGAUAAGAUAAGCCCCAAGAACUCUAAACACAAAUCUGCUGUCCCUGCAGAAAUCCCCACUUUCGGGCACCCAAAACAUACAUCUGGGCGUCCGGAACCUCCAGGCUAUACAAAAGCUUCCCUUUGGUUCCUCCGCCGCGGUAUGCUGCGCCCGUAUCCGGCUCCGGCGGACCUCACCUACCACCAGCCACGUGUCAGCGCAAACGAUACUCACGAAGUGAAUUUUCGGACCCACUUCUGGGCGCCCGAAACUAGGAUCCGAAUUGUCUUCCAAUUCUGCUUAGUUUAGCACUCGAGUUCUGGGCGAUCCAAACUUUGUUCUGGGUGCCCGAAACUGGCAAAACUUUAGUUUUGCUUAUUUGAGUGCGUCGAGUCCAUUUCUGCAUCCAUUUUGUGCAGAAACGACUCCAACUCAGUCCGACACUCUCCAGAUGUGUCGGUCAGUCACUAAUACUAUAGCCAAUCCUAUCCAAACCUCAGCGACACUACACCAUAUCCAAAAUGGAGGAACCAAACAAGCCCUAAGAUUCUUAGAUGUCUAUAUAUAUAUAUAUAUAUAUAUAUAUAUAUAUAUAUAAAAUGUUCCUCAUGGAGUACGCUUGACUAACAUCAUUGCAAUCUUUUUUUCAAAGAGUAACACUUUUGAGCAGUGAGUAUUCUUUAUGCGGCCCUCAAACUACGUACUAUUAAUAACCUGGCUAUGCUUCAGAGCACGUGCAUGCGUACGUAAACCAAUCAAUAUUAUAUUUUACAAUUAUCUGCUUAUCAGUGAUUUUUAAAAGAACCUUCAGUAUGUAAUUGAUUUUUUCACGAAGAAGGACCGUCAUAGUGCGAAAGGCUUUUUCUGAACUAGACUGCAGAAGCUGAUAUUAUUUUCUCUAUUCCUACUAGCCCUAGUGUGUGCAAAUCCACUAAGACGUGUACGUACUUGGUGAUAAGGUAGAACCCCACAAAAAAAAUGGUGGAUAUAGAGUGUGGUGCACGCGCAUUAUACAUGAUGGGCGGAGCUGGUCUCCUUUUGUACUAAUCAAUCAUAACCAGUACUAUCGUAGCUAUCAUGCUCAUGUAGCGAAGUUUGUAAUAUGCUACAUGUGCGCGCUAGUUAUAAGCUAGAAUAUUACUUCUCUCUAGUCGAUACAUAACCGCUCCAUUAUAUGAUGUAUAAACUACGUACAUUAGUUAAAAUACAACAGAUACUUUUAAAUUCAUGAUUUGUAUAAAAUUAGUUAUUCUCCUGACGCACACCAAGUUAACUUUUUAAUCUUUAAAAAGAAACUGCUUCUCUAACUCAAUCCACUCAAACAUAAUAUGCCUAUCAAUUACGAACAGUUACUACGUACCACUAGCUGGCAAUAGAACAUGCUAAUCAAAUCAACCUAUAAAAUAUAACAUUUAUAUACAAUAUAAUGGUUAAGGUACUAAAUAAUUCACAUGAGGAACAGUCAACACUCCCAUGUAUCCAUCAUUUUUCUUUAAAUAUUGUUAGAUAUAUCUUAAUUUAAUUUUGAAAUCGCAAGGUUUCUAACUCUACUAUAUUUUGGUUAAUUAUUUUAUGGAAUUAAGUUUAAAUUAUACUUAAUUUUAUUGAGAUAAUUUCUAGUCUUAUUAAUUUUUUAGUUUCUAAUAUAAAUAUACCUUUUGCUUUAUUAAUUUGGUGCAGCAGAUAAGAGAAAAUAUAGAUGUAUAUUUAGGGUUAGGAUUUCAUGAGAUAGUCAUCUUUUGUACUCCACUUUAAAUAUAACUAGUAAAGCGGCCCGCGCUUUGCAACGGGUAGAAACCGUAGUAGUAAUUAAUAAUAAGAAAAUAUUAAACAUUCUCUUGUAUAUCUCACUUGGUACAUCCACCAAAGGUCACGGUGGAACAGAGAAGUGGGCUCGCAUUAGUGAGAGAGAGGGAAGGAACGAGGGAAAAAGACGAUGGUGUAUAGCAAAAGAUGAGAGAUAGAGAAUUGAUGAAUGGAUUGGAGAUAAAGAAUUGAAAAUUCGGUGGAAGGAAGGAAAAUGACCAUGAUUAAUAAUUGGAGAUAAAGAGGUUAGGAUUAUAGAUGGUAGUGGGACUAUUUAAAUAUACUAAUUGAAAGUUUGAUAGUGGGACUGUUUGCAUUAAUUGAAAGUAUAGUGGAAGGAAGGGAAAAAAUCAUAAUGCGUAAUUGUAGAUAGAAACAAUAGAAUUGUAGAUAGUAGUGGAACUAUUUAAAUGCACUAAUUGAAAGUUUGGUUAGUGAGACCGUUAAAAUGUAUAUUGAAAGUUUGGUGAAGGGAAGAAGAAGAGUUACAUGCUAGUGAAGGUGAAGGAGAACUUGCCACAUGUCAACAAAUAUUGAGAAUUCAUAUAGGUUAAUAGAUGAAAGUUUUUAUUCUGUUUUCUUUCAUAAACGUACGUAGGUCUGUGAUCGAAUCACGUAAAUAUUUAUGUACUUUAUUUUUCUUCUCUCUUUCUCGAUUCUCUUUUGAUAUUUUGUGUUCGAGAAUUAGAUCUCUAUCCUUGUUCAUAACAAACUGGUAUCACAGCAAGUUGCAGAUUUAUAACAAAUAUCAGUGUUUCUACGGGUGCGGAUUCUAUGGCAAUCAAUUUUGGAUCCUAAUAGUUGAUAUAUGGGUUAAAGCAAAUCAUUUGCAACACUAGCCCCUUCCUAAUUAGGAGACUCAUUAAGCCAUUGAUUCCUUAUAAUGACCAUAUUGUAGUAGCCUCAUAAUUUUACACUUUGUUGUAGAGUGGUAGGGAGAGUGAGGUGAUUGGGCCAUCUCUUUUUAGAAGCUAUCCCACCAUUUCUGUAGUGAGGCAUGAAUUUAUAUUCCUUCAGUUUGUGGAUGGUCCCUACAAGUUGCAAUUUGAAUACUUUUCCUUUCUUUAGUUGAGCACCACAUGAACACAAAAGUUAACCAAUAGAGGGCUAAAGGGUUCACAUUUGGUUUGAUGUAAUAUAAUUAGCUUUUGUGGGAGCAGAUCCUUAGAGAAAUUGCCCUUAAUUUCUUUGAUGGAUUUGGUCCUAGAGCACUCUCCUAGCAUUCUAUUUGUAAUCUUGGCACUUUGCACUGCCCUUAGGUGCGUUUUUAAAGCAACACUUUACUUGUUUACGGGCAUUUAAUGAAAACAUAUAACACCUAUCUGAAUUAUGGACCAUUUUAAUUUAGCUACCUAAUCUUUGAAAAUUUUGAUUUGAAUAGGUUAAUUCCACUUUGACUUUAAAUUUUGAACGAGUUAUUUAUCUUUAUAGAUUUUGUAAAUACAUUUCAUGCAUGCAAUUCUCACAAUUAUAUAUUUAUUCAAAUGAUCUAUAGUUUAGGUAAAUUUUAUAGGGUUUUACCAAAAGUUUCUAGUCUUUAAACAUAGAAAUUCUAGUAUGAAACUUUAAGCACACCCCAUGUAUAAUUGCAAAAUGGUAACAGAGAAAGUUUAAUGAACAAUAUGUCACUACUAAUGGGUUAAUGUUCAUUUCACGAUUUAUAAUAUUUUUAAAACUUUUUGUAUUUUCUAUUCAAAAUAUUCAAAUUUUUACAAUGUAACUCAAAUUGAAAAGUUGAAAGAAGUGUUGGUAAAAUUAUAGAAUCAUCAUGCAUUCGUAACUAGUACAAAUUUUUAAUACCAUUUAUUCAGAUAUCUUGUUAAUUAUUUGAAAAUUUGACGGCAAUUACGAAAGUUCAUUAAUAGAAAUAUACAAGUUUCUAAUAGUCUCACAAUUCUAGUGGCAUGAUUAAUUGGUAAUAAAUUUGUCAUUCUAAAUAUAAAGUAUAUGACAUUACUAGAAUAUAUAAACACUAGAACGACAGCUCCCGAAAAUCAAUGAAAUAACUAAAAUUAAGAUAAAUUCCUGAGACUAGGAUCUAAUUGCAGUAAACAGACAAUAAAUACGUAUAGAACUUAUGUAAACUAUUGACUGUUUUGAUUUUACUAUCCAAUAUUUCAAAAUUUUUGACUUUACCACCUAAUCUUUUAAUUUAUUUGAUUUGAGUCAGUCAACGACACUUUGGCUUUAAAUUUUAAAUGUGUCAUUUUUGCUUUACAGAUUUAAUAAUUAGUAUACCUCAUGCAAUUUUCGCAAUUAUUAAUUUAUUAAAAUAAAUAAUUAGUUUAAAUUUUAAGUCAAGGUAUCAUUGACGGAUUCAAGCCAAACAAAUUUAAAGGUUGGAUAAUAAAGAUAAAAUUUUGAAAGAUUAAAUAGUUAAAUUAAAAUAGUUUAUAAUUGUUAGAUAUGUCUCGAAUUCUAGAACCGCAAUUAGAGUCCGCAAAAUUUUUUAACCCUAUUAUAUUUUGAUUAUCUCAUUAAGUUAAGUUUAGAUUAUGCCUAAUAUAAUUAAGAUAUUCCUAAACUUAAUGGUUUUGUAUUCUUAAUCGUAUUAGUAUUUAACUAUUAUUAUAAAUAUACCUUUUAUUUCAUUAAUUUGGUGCGGUAGAUGAGGGAAAGUAUGGGCGUAUUUUUUGGGACUAGGAUUUUGUUAUAUAGGCAUAUCUUGUACACCACUUUGAUUAUAAUGAAAAUCUUCAUUAUGUUUUCGUUCGUGGAUAUGGGCCAGUGGCCGAACUAUAUAAAUAUCAUGUGUUUUAUUUUUUUUCUCUUUUUCUCGAUUCUUCGUUGGUAUUUUUGCAACCGAUGAACUAGAUCUUCACUGUUUUUGCUGCAACAAUAAUUGAGAUAAAUUUUGUAUGAUUUUACCUAGGUUAAAAGCCUCCUUGAAAAGGAAAGGACUAUACACUGUGAAUUUAUGGUAACAGAGCAGAGUGACGCAACAAUUGCAUCAUUGUUGUUGUCACAAGGCACUUAGUGUGGGGAGGAGGGAUGCAGGUGGACAGGACAACACUACAACGCAUUGCCGCACUCAUUCGCCAAAGAUGGUGGAGUUUAACCCUAAUCAGAAGAAGCACAAGGCUCUCUAGGUGGAUGUCCACAUAAGUUAUCUUGUAAUAAUUUACACGGUAUAAAGAGUUUUUGUGUGAGCAGAAGUUGAGUUUGAUUUUUGCUCUUAAAAAAUUUUUGACAUCAAUAAUUUGAUAAGUUAGUAUAUUUCAACUACGAAAUUAUUUAUCUCCUCACGUACUGAGUUUUGCCGACUCCUUUAGUAAAUCAACAUGAUGCUGAAUAAGAUGUUCACGUCUCCAAAUAAAAUCUAAUCAAAUUACAGUAUGUUGUCACAGAUUAGAGAAAUAAUUUAAUAUGGCAUUAUAAAAUUUAAUGAUAAUCAAGGAGAAAGCGUUCGUCAGAAAGGGAUAAACGACCAAGGUGAUCUCCUCUCCUUAUUUAGAUGAAGCGUCACAGAUUGGAGAAAUAAUUUAAUAUGGCUUUAUAAAGUUUAGUGAUAAUCAAGGAGAGAGCGUUUGUCAGAAAAGGAUAAACGACCAAGGUGAUCUCCUCUCCUUAUUUAGAUGAAGGAGGAGGAGAAGAAAGGAAAGAAGAGAAAGUAAUAAUUGGCGUCACAGUUUAUAUUAAUUUGGAUCCAUGGUCGUGGUUAGAGGCUGUCGACACUGGACAGAUUUGAAUUUGGAACGUGCAAUACUGGCUUGAUUUUUUCUCAAGCUCGAGCUAGACUAAGAACUUGCUCGAUCUUUUUUUGUAUUUCUAAGUUUUCAGUCUUUGUUUUAAAUAUUUUAAUAUAAUUCUUUAGAAUACAUGUUGCUAGUGUUUCUAUCAAUACACUUUUGUUAAUUUUUUUAAAAAAAAAUAUUCAAAGUUUACAUAUUUUAAAUGUUUCAAAGGAGAAGAAAAAAUAUAAAUAAAUAUAUAAUAUUCAAAAGCACCGAUUAAAAAUAAAAAGUGUUGGAACAUACCAUGCCGUCAGGUUCAGGCAAUGAUGGCCCAUAUGGUUCGGGCCUCCAUGGCACUGCCUGGCAUGGCCUGCUUGACUGGCCAGGCCCGAGUUUGUUACCAGAUCCAUGCCAGACGGCCCUUUUUUUUUUUUUUUUGGUUAUCCCUCCUGCAUUUCCUUUCGCACAAAAUCAUAUAUGUAAUGUAAUGUAAAACCAACCUGAUACAGGACACCGUCAGUCUGGCGGUUGACCCAGUUCCAGUGUCCGGUCACAGGUCGCUCCCUGCCUUACUCCGCCUCCGAAGAACCCGCCCAGAAGGCGCCGACCCGCCGCCGACUCAAGACAGCCCGUCCUUACGCUUCUCUUUCUCUCUCAGGUGACCGAUUGACUGACUGUCUGUCAUCCGACAAUUAACUGCCAGCCCUAGUAAAUCCCUUCUCUCAUCUGGAUCUCCCACUCUCUUCUACCCCUCAUUAGUUAUAUACGCACAAAAAAAAAAACAACAACAAUAAUAAAAUGAAUCCUCCUCUCUCCUCCCCCUCCUCCUCCACUCCCUCUCCUGCCUCCUCUCCCUCUCCCUCGCUUCCGCCUCUCCGCCUCCUCCUCUUCCUCUUCCCUCCCCCUCCCCCUCCCCUCCCCCAUCCCCUCUCCCUCCCCAGCUUCUAUCCCCUCCCCCUCCUCCUCCGCCGCCGGCGGCGAGUACGAGAAUAGUCGCGGCCGGCACGGCAUAUCCGUCCGGCCUCCUCCUCCCUCCCCGACCCGGCCGACACCGCCCGCGCCUUCCGCCUCCUCGCCGCCGUCCACGCCGAGCAGCGCCGCGCCUCCUCCCACCCCUCGCCCCCCUCGCGUCACCCCACCAUCCCCGCCCUCCAAUUCCCCCUCCUCUCCUCCCUCGCCCACUCCCUCCUCUCCUCCCCUUCCCCUCACCUGGCUCCUCGUCGAACCCCCCCCUCCCCUCCCCCGCCUCCGUCUCCGUCUCCAUCUCCGUCUCGCUUCUCGCUCGCUUCCCCCUCCGCAUCCUCCCCCUCCGAUUCCCCGGCCCCCUCCCCACCAAUGCCGCCGAAUCCCGCAUGCGCCUCCACGCCCUCAGGUUCACCACUAAUCCCGAACUCAUUCCCACAUUUCUCCCCUUCUUGUGCAAUUCAUUAAUGUCGACUAAGAGUUUUACCUACCGCAAUUUAGAGUAAUUAGGGAGAGAUGGAUGGAGGGAAUUGUGGUUUUCGCCGACGAUAGUAAUGUGCACAGCUUGGAGUUCUUUGAUGAAGUACAAAAGGUGAAGUGGAUGGGGGCAGUGUCGAUCGGGAUGCUCGCACAUUCCGGGAGCUCCAAUGAGUAUAAGAAGGAGGAGGAGGAUGGCCUGCCGGUUCCGAUCCAGGGACCGGCCUGCAACGCGUCGGGGCGGUUGGUCGGGUGGCAUACGUUCAAUUCGUCGCGGUAUGCCGGGAAGAUUGCGACGUUUGCGGGUGAGGAGGGGAUGGUGCUGCCGGCGAGGAUGGAGUGGGCGGGGUUCGUGCUCGAUUCGAGGCUGGUGUGGGAGGCGGCGGAGGGGAGGCCGGAUUGGGUGCGGGAUCUCGAUGAGGUCGGAUUGGACAGGGAGGGGGCUGAGAGCCCGCUGGAUUUGUUGAAGGACGCGGCCGCGGUCGAGCCUCUUGGGGACUGCGGGAAGAAGGUGAUGCUGUGGUGGCUCCGGGCGGAAGCGCGAUAUGAUAGCAAGUACCCGCCUGGGUUAGAUUUCUGAACUUUUCGCCGUAAAUUGGUAGUAAUUCUUUAAUUUAAUGAUUGGUUAUUCUUGAUUUUCUUGACCUUCUGAUGCCAACAUAACUUGCUUGAAUGGUUGAACCAUUGUUUUUUGGUUCGAUGUUGUUAUUCUGCAGAUCAGAAAAGAUAAAAGAAAUUGAUCUUGAAAAACCUGCUGAUGGAACUAACUGAACAAUUAGUUUUAUGUUUUCGUGCAUCCUCGCCAUGAGAGAUUGUGAAUAGGAGGUGUCUUCUAUAAGGCACAAACAAUUUGAGUACCGUCAAGCCCAACAUGUCAACUAAGAUUCGCAGUUCCUUGACUUUAGCUUUCGUGUUUGCAUUGGAUAGGUAAUGAAUAUGAUAGUCACCCAAUGCAUAUCAGAUACUUUGUAGGAGUACAUAAAAAAUGCCCAGAUGAGCAAAGAUUACUCGAAAUCUCAGGCCUUCUUGCUAAUUUGGGUUGUAAUCAUUCUUAAGCGGCCUUUGUACAAUUUGUCUUCAUUCAUAUCCUGUGUUCAUAUCUGCACAACAAAGCUUCGUAAACAUGCUUUCUCUGGGUGAAUCAGUGGACAAGUAUGUAGUUUAGCAAUUGAGGCCGUAGAUAGAAGCAGCACAUAGAAAAUAAUAGAUAGAUAUUAUAUUACAAUUUAAUGUCAUGAAAUCUGGCUAAUUAGUACUAUGAGAUGUUCAAGGAAAUUGUUGAACUGUUAUAGACUGAGUUUCCAACUCUUCAUCUAUUUCUUCUCUUGCUAUCUAAUGCUUGUUUAUUGUUGUCAGGCUUUAUUCUCUAAGUGACCAUUUUAUCUUUCGUUUAUAAACAAUGCUGUAACUAAUUUAUGGCAUUGCCUCAUCUAGUGUAUUUUAACAAUUAAACAACAGCAACAAGAAGGCCUAUAUCCCAAUGGUUGUGUUAGAACGUCCAUACUAUUGGUGUUUGUUCUUGUCUAUGUGCCGACUACAGCAUGAAUUGAAUCACCUCUCUUUUAGUACAACAUGUGUUAUUUCCUUUAGUUGUCAACUUGCUCCAUGAAGUUUUCGUAGUGAAAAGAAGUGAAUGUCUAAGGUAAAUAGGUAUUUGAUUGAAGAAAGAGUUAGACUAAUUUGAUAUCGGAAAGCUUGUUUCCCUGUAAGACAUUCUUUGGCAUUAUUUUUGGUGCAGAAUGCAUAUCUGUAGAUUGAAAAUCAUUAUCCAUGUUCAUGAAAGGUUACAAAUAGUAAUUUUUGAGUCUUUUCCUAGUUUAAGUUUACCUACUUUAAGUAUGAUUGUUCCCCAUGGAAAUGGAAUUCAUAACUGUAAGAGUUAGACUAGUUUGAUAAGACAUUCUUUGGCUUUAUCUAUAGAUUGAAUAUGGUUAUCCAUGAUUGUGAAUGGUUGCCAAUUUUUUUUUUUUUUGAGUCUUCUCCAAAUUCAUUCUUAUCUACUUUUCUUUGGUAAUUAUGUUAUAGAAUAUUAGAAAUUUGAGUUCAUUUCAAGAUCCUAAUGAUUUUUCAAGAUGGUGAAUUCCAGCUACAAUUUGAUUUGCCAUAUCCUUAAUAAGGGGGAUAACCUAGUCCUUCAUAGUCAACUUCUUUUUGAUGCCUCUCAACUAUCAACUAACAAAGGCCCUCGAGUAAAUAAACAUAGAUAUAAACUAUCACAGUAUCCGAACAGGCUCUUAGUUUGAAUAUCUGCAUAAGGAUUUGCUCUGGCUACAGAACAUCCUCCCUUGUGAUCAACUGCACUGCAGUGUUUACUUUACUAUAGUGAUUGUGAGCCGUUAGAGAGUAUGGUUAUAACUGAAUCUUUGCUCGAAUAUCACUGAUGAUUACUUACAAUAUUUAGCUCUUCUGCGAGUCCUUGCUCUAUUGAUGUCAUUGUUUUAGUCACCACUCACCACAAAAAAUAGAUUUCUGAAAAGAUCUCAGCUCGUACUUUCAUGGAACAUCACAUGGUCUGCUCUUAUUUAACCUUAUGUUUUGCUGUGCAGAUGGAUAAUUAAUCCUCCAUUGGAUAUCGUUGUUCCUGCAAAACAAACACCAUGGCCUGAUGCGCCUCCCGAACUCCCACCUUUGAGAACGACAAGCCACCAUGAUCAUGCUGAAAAACGUUCUGCAAAGAGCAGUAGAUCUUCGAGGCCAAGACACAGCUCUCGCAGUAAAAGAAAGCGUGACUCACUCGUUGACUCACGUUCUUCUCCAUUGUCCCAGAGACAUGUAUAACUGCGCGGAUUUAGAUUGGGUCUUUACAAACUUAGGUUCCUUUAAUUUGCUCCAUCAUAUACCUUUACUACUACUCUGCGUUAGUACGCAUACCUUUUGUCUGUUUGUUGUAACAAUCUCAUGUGUUUAGCGUUAGAAAUGAUACUUUGUUCUCCAUGAUAAGAAAUUUCACCUAAGGCACCUACUUAUCGGUGGCCGUAUUAGUUCUUGUAAAUUUGAUACUACAAUGGAGGGGCCUUGGAAUGAGAUUAUCGCAAUCCGGAGACAGAAACAUCCAUGUGUUUUUGUUGGUACAAUUCUAACGUGUAUCUGUUUCGAACACAUUAUGUAACACUCCGAGAUGAUCUUAGCUCUUAGUUUAAGUUGUUCCUGGGUAGAGAAAGUACCAAUUGAAGGACAUUUGUAGGAUAGGUUCAGUGAUGUAAAGCAUAUGCCUCUUUUGUGCAAGUUGUACCCAAGAUUCCUCCCAGUGUUCUAAGUAUGACAUGCAUCUGUUAAUGUAUUUUUAGUGGGUAAAUUGCAUGGUUACCCCCUAAAUUUUUGGCGAAGUUUCACUUUACCCCUUGAACUUCUAAAAUAGACAUCUAACACCCUAAACUUUAAUAUUUCAUUUAUGUUAUUCCUUCCGUGAGUUUUCCGUCAAGCUCCGUUAACCGAAAACUAACGGAAGGAGUAAAACGAAUGAAAUAUUAGAGUUUAGCAUGUUAGAUGUCUAUUUUAAGAGUUUGGUGGUUAAGUAAAACUUGCCGAUAGUUCAGGAGGUAGCAGUGCAAUUUACCCUGUAGGACUCUUGACUAUAUAUUAUUUUAUUAUAAUAUGUUACUUAUGGAUUGACUACUAACCAUCAAGUUAGUGAUUAUGCUUGAUUUUGAAUUUAUAUAUAUUUUUUAUUUUGAAUUUAUAUAUAUUUUUUAUUUUAAAAUAAAUCAUACCAUAAUUUAUCCUACAUUUUAUUGUAAUAAAAUAAAAGCGAAAGAAAUGAAUUAGAGUGGCUUAAAGAUAAGAAAAGAGCGAUACUAACUACCUACGAUGCUCGCACACUCUACUGUCCUGGUGUACUCGCUAAUAUGGUUGAUUUACAAUAGGUGUCCUCACUUGGAUAUAGAGAUUUUAAUUCUCAGUUAAUUUUCUAUAGUACUCGUUUGUCCCUUUUAUCUUUAGAAGCAUUGUUCUAGAGUAUUAUAAAAUAUUAUUUUAUAUUUUUAUAUUAAAAAUUUCUAAUUGACUGAAAUGAAGUACAAAAAUUUUAUUUUAGGCUACAAUAAAAUUACAUUGCAUAAUUUCAUAGAAAAUAAGUGCAUUUUCUAGAACAAUACUUUUAAAUAAAAAAGGGACAAACGAGUACUACAGAAAAUUAACUGAAAAUUAAAAUCUCUAUAUCCGAGUGAGGACACCUAUUGUAAAUCAACCAUAUUAGCGAGUACACCAGGACAGUAGAGUGUUCGAGCAUGGUAGGUAGUUAGUAUCGCUCUUUUCUUAUCUUUAAGCCACUCUAAUUCAUUUAUUUCGUUUUUAUUUUACUUACUCUUUCAAGAGUGUCUGUAGUUAUUGAUAGGCAUGUCAAUGGGUAUGGAUAUUCGUAAUUUUAUUUGAAUCCGAAUCCGAAUCCGAAUGAAACUUGAUAUAUCCGAUGUUAAAUGAAUAUGGAUUCGGAUAUAAAUAUCAAAAAUAGAAACUCGACGGAUAUAAAUUCAGAUAUGAAUUUUGGCUGUACCCGACUCGAACCCAAAUCCGAUCCGAACCCGAAUUUAUUUUGUAUUAUAUAUAUAUAUAUAUAUAUAUAUAUAUAUAUAUAUAUAUAUAUAUAUAUAUAUAUAUAUAUAUAUAUAUAUAUUUGAUGUUAUAUUUGAAUUUAUAUUUUAAAAAUUUAGAUUUAAAUAAUAUAUUUUGAAAUAUUGAAAAAAAAAUAAUUGUUUCGGGUUCAAAUUUUCAGGUUCGGGUUCGGGUUUCGGAUUUUUGGUCGGGUUCGGGUUUGGAUAUGAAUUUUUAAAAUCCGUCAGGUUCGAAUUCGGGUUCGGGUAUCGGGUUUGGAGUCGUGUUCAGAUUCGGGUUUUUAAAAAUCCGUCCCGAAUCCGACCCGUUGACAUCUCUAUUUAUUGAUAAGAGUUAAUUUCAUACAGGUUUCUGUAAAUAUAGUGAAUUGCAAAUAUAUUCUUACAAAGUUCAACUUUUAUAUAUUGUCUCUGUAAAAGUUCUAAUAUUUUCAAAUAUGUCUAUUUGGUUUGUUAUCGUUAAACAACUGUCUAUUUUAUAAGUGAAAUGACCUUUUUGUCAUCACAAAUAUGUCUCUUUAAAAGUCCCAACUGUUAAUUGAAAAAGUGUUAAAAUCGGAACGGCGAAAAAUAGAUUCAGAAAAUAAUUUAAUGCAAGAAAAGAAAAGAUAAGGAAAGAACACACUAAUAUUUACGUUGUUCGGCCAACGGCCUACAUCCACGGACGAAGACGGAGCAAAUACUUUAUUAAUGUCGAAAAGACGGAGUACAAAAAAAUCUCUCAAAAGAUCAAAACUUAAUUAGAUCCGAAACGCUGCAACAAGCAACUCCAAAAAAACCGGCUCGGCUCCUCAACCCCAUACGGACUCUAAAGUGGCGCUAAUUAGAUUCGCCGGGGAUCCUUCACCGUACGGAACAUGAAUAGCUGGACUUAAUUAAUUUGCACCGAACACCAACAGCACCCAAGAAGAAAACAAUGUUGGCUAAUUAAUUAGAGGAUUGCAUGGCCCUUAAUUUGGUCGCGGCAAGAUUAAUUCGGUCGUAGUAUGUCUUUAUAAUACAUGUCUCCUAAAUAGAGCCUAAUCCUAAUUAAAUUAGAAAUUAGAUUCCGACUCAUAAUCCAUAUAUGCCAAAUUAAAUCUAAAUUAUAUCCAAUCCCAAUUAAAUUAGGAUUUAACUCUAAUUUAGAUAAUUACAAAUCUAAACCAAAUAUAACAAAAAGGGUAAAAGGUCAAUUUACCUCAUUAACUAACUACGGUCAAGUAUUUAACCUAUGGUUAACUAAAUUUUUCUAACGGAUUCUAGCGGUAUGGGCAUAUUCAAAAACAUCAGGAUUUUUAUAGAGACAACAUAUAAAAAUUAAACUUUAUAAAGAUAUAUUUACAAUUCAUUAUAUUUGUAGGGACCCGUGUGCAAUAAAACUAUUGAUAGUGCAAUGCAACUUAUGCUGGAGAAGGGCAGUUGCUGAGAAAGUGCUUGUGUGUACAUCCUCAUGAACAUCCCUAAAAACUUUUCUUAGGAAACAAGACAUGUAUUCAUGGGAAUUUCACCAAAGCACCGAGCACUACAUUGAGAAAUAUUAUUUAUCACGCAUCACUUUAUUUCAGUGUAGUACUCAAUGAACUGCAUGCAUGAUGAGUCCUUAUUUUGGUGCUUUCUUUUCCUCGCAGUGUUUUAGCUUCUAGGGAGAGAGGGUGAGGUGGUGUCUAGUCAUAAAAAUUCACUUUCGUGUUUGAUUUGCUGUAAUUUUAUCUUCGGUCGAAACUCAAAUUCUUUAAAGUACCGUAAUUGACUUUGAUUCAUCCCGAACUGAAGUCAAUUUUUGAAAAAAAAAAAGGAAAACAAUAGAACUAGAGAAACUUCAAUUUUACAACUAACUUUUAUUAAACUAUAUGAAACGAUCCAUUUAUCUCUAAUGGCUUAAGCUAUCACAUAGCGAUAUUGUUAAAAUUUUAUAUUCAGCAUUUUUCCUCACGUUCGGGCAUUUAAUUAAUGGGAGAAAUUAAACAACGAGCUUAAGAUAUCAAAAAAAUAGCUCAUAUCUCGGGCUUGAGAUUUUUUUGACAGGCCCAAGAUAUCGACUAAAUUGAAUGGAAGAAACUUAAAUAAAGAAUUUGAAAACCUUUUUCUUUGAUACCAUAUUUUUUCAAGAAAAAUAUAGCAAACUACCUGCUUCAUUCAUUAAGCAAAAUGAACUAGGCGUACAGUAUGGAAGCAGCUAAGGCCUCUCAGGGAAUCGACAAAAAAGGUAAAGUGAAAAAGUAAGAGAAAGGAAAACAAAAGGAGAAAAAGAGGAGGUGUGAGUAGGGAGAGGAGGGAUAGUAGCUGAGGCUCGGACGGCACAUCACAGUGAUGAGUUCCAGUCGUUUAGUAAAAGAUUGACUCGUUCAAGAGACCGGGUAGCAUUGUGCGAGACUCCUCGGAAGAUUGCGUUGUUUUUGUCUGUCCAGAUCACCCACCAAGUCGCGGCCAGAAGGGUCAGGCCUUGUGUUCUCGAAGUUCCGAUCGGGGUGUCACACCAUCCAUUCCAGAGACCAUUGACGUUGCCCGUGCUGUCAUCAGUUGAACCCAAUCCUUCCAAACUGAGGAGCAGGUAUCUUACAUAAACGCAAGUACAGAAUAGAUGAUCACAGUUUUUCGUGAGCACCGCAACUGUUGAGUAGCCUAUCAGCAGUGAGUAAUCUCUUUCGGAGAAGUAGCCAAAUGAAGACUUUGAUUUUGACCGAAAUUUUCAGUUUUCAGAUGUGCCGAUUUGUAGGGACUCUCUGUCCCCCAUUAGAAAUGAACUGGCAGAGGGAUUUGACCGUGAAUAGUUGUGAAUAGUUGGUUGGAGGUCCACCUCCAUUUAAUUGAGUAUGGGUUGAUACCGGGGCGAUGGCCUCGGAGCAAGUCUUUAAACAUCGUUAGCUAUCUUCGACUUUCAAUGGAGUGUGACGCCGAGAAGCCAUGGCAAAUGAAGCGCCAUCUCCAUUCGCUGUGGUUCUGGCACUGGGAAAUGCGCGCCUCCUUUCGUAACGUUCCAAUAGAUAUCCGGGAAGAGAAUACAAAGGGGGGUUUCUCCUAUCCAGAUGUCAUUCCACAACCUAAUGUUUCUUCCGUUACCUAGCUCAUAAGUCACUCCGGAGGUGGACAUGUCUUGACACCAAAGCACACUUUUCCACCAUUGCGAGUAGGGAAGAAAGGCUCUACCCUCGUAUAGUGGCCUUCUUCUAGUGCAGUCUUUGAUACCAUAUUAAGUUACAUGAAACGAUCGUUUGUCUCAAAUAGCUUAAGCUAUCUUAAAACAAUAUUUUUAAUAUUUUAUAUUAUUUUUAUUUGAAUUUUAAUUCAUCCGAAAGUCUAAUUUAAUCUGAACUUCACUUUUUGUGAAACAAGCAUACUUUCAUUACUAUUAAAAUAAGCAAUUUUCAUGUGCAUUUUGUAGUCCAACUACUCGGUUAAUAGCACAUCAGCCUUUAUAAACUGUCAAUAAAUUAGAUGUGAUUGAAACUUGAGAUUAGUGAUCGCCAUGAUUGAAAUUUGAGAUGGAAUAUCAAUAAAAAAGAUGUAAGGUUGAGAGCUCUAUUUUAAAAUAUAUUCUAUAGUUGAAGGAGGUUUUGAUAUAUUCACCUUUUUUUAAAAAUUUAAUUUUUAUCAGCCAAAUAAUCAAAUUGUUGAGAAGAAAAGUUUGAUACGAGAAAACGGAUGGUCGCCAUUGUUUGCUCGGGACAAAAGCUUCUUGGCUUUUGGGAAAUUAUUAUUAUUAUUAUCUCCAUUAAUUUAGGUUUUAUAAACUGCCUUAUAUAAUCAAUAUUUCAAAUUAACGUUUUACGUGCUCAAUGUCUAUUAUAUAACGUCACACCACAUCAACUAUAACCAAUCAAUUAUAUCUCUUCUUUUAAUAUAAAAGUAUGGUAAAAAUUAUUUUUUUAAAAUUAUUAUAAAAUAAAUAAGUUUCAGAAAUGCAUUUUGAUUGGCUAGUGAAUCUUAGCAAUGUGAUGCGGCUGAUAAGUACUGCAGCAUUAUUCUUUUCCCUAAUAAAAUAUUUUUCAUCUCUUGUGAACGGUUAAAUGCAUGUUUGUUUUUCAAUUAAGAGACAAAGUACGGGUAAAUUGCAUAUUUGGCCCUCAAACUAUGAGGUUGGGGACAUUUUAGUAUUCAAAUAUUAUUUUUUUAUUUUUUUUCAAACUUUUAAAAUUAUUAUUAUUAAGUUUUAUAAUUCAAUUUAGCUGACUAAAUAAUAAUAUAUUACUAAUAUAGAAGUGAUGUGAUAUGUUAAAAUUUAAUCAAUCAAAAUGAAUUGUAAGAGUUGAUUAUAAUAAUUAUAAAAGUUUUAAAAAAUAUAAUAAUAAAUUAAAAUUUAAGAAUUAAAAAGCCAAUUUGUAUAAAAAAUCCACAAAUUUUGAGCUUUUGCAAAACUCGGCCUUUUUUUCGAUUUUGCAGAUUCGGUCCGAAUUUUCAGCAAAUUGACCAAAAUACUCUUAUUACUUUUUCUCUCUCCUCUUUCUCUCUCCUUUUUUUUUUUCUCGCUCAUUUUUUUUUUCUCUCACUGAAGAAGGUAGUGGAGGCGAAGGCGAAAACGGCCCGCCUUGCCUUUCACCCUCGUGCCCUCGCUCGCGGACACCCUACCUUCCUCGCCUUCAACCCCGCCGCGACUCUUUUUUUUUCCCUCUCCGAUCCUCCUCCACCAUCUCCGAUGACAACGUCUCUCUCGCCCUUCCUGGCCCUUCUCAUCCUCUCCCUCUUCCUCCUCCUCCGCCGCCUCCGACGACGAAGCAUCUUUGCUUACGCCGACAAGGCGAAGGUCGCUGCGGCGCCGCAGCCUCGGAGCGGGGGGUCCUUAUCGAUGUCGUUGUCGGCGCCAUGACCGUUGGCAAAAUGGGGUGACCAAAAAAGUUUGUAGAAGAAGGAAGAAGAAAAGACAAAAAAUUAUAGAAAAAGAAAGAUGAAAAUGAAAUUGCACCGUUAAAAUAUAAUUGAAUUAUUUUAAAAAAAUAUUGCACUAUUAUGGAUAUAAGUUGCACUAUUUAAGAUAUAAACUGCAUCAUUUAAGAUGAAAAUUACAUUCUUUAAACAAAAAUUACACUCUUUAAUUAGAAGAUAUUUACACUGUUUCUUCUCUUAUUACACUCUUUGAGAUAUAAACUGUAUCUUUUAAGAUAAAAGUUAUAUUUUUUAAACGAAAGUUGUACUUUUUGAAUUAUAGUUACACUAUUUCUUCUCUUUGUUGCACUGUUUGAGAUGUAAACUGCACCCUUAAGAGAUAUUUACACUAUUUUUCCUCUUUGUUGCAUUAUUUUUUCUCUUGUUACACUCUUUCUUCUCUUUGUUGCACUCUUUAAAAGGAUAAACAGUGCAACAAAAGAAGAAACAGCAACCGUGUAAAAUUUUUUCAAAGAGUGCAAAUUUUGUUUAAAAAGUAUAAAUUUUAUCUUAAAAGAUAUAGUUUACAUUUCAAAGAGUACAAUAAGAAGAGAAACAGUAUAAAUAUUUCCCAAAGAAUGCAAUUUUUAUUUAAAGAGUAUAAUUUUCAUCUUAAAGGAUAUAAUUUACAUCUAAAUAGUGCAACUUAUGUUCAUAAUAGUACAACGUUCUUUAAAACAGUGCAAUUUUAUUUAACCGUGCAAUUUUAUCUUCAUUUUUUUUUCUAUAAUUUCUUGUAUUUAUUUUUUCUUCUUUCUUCUUCUACAUUUUUUUUUAUCACCCCUCUUUGCCAACGGCCAUUGCGCUGGCAAUGACGCCGAUAAGAACCUCCCGCUUCGAGGUUGCAACGCUGUAACGACCUCCGAGGUGUCGGCAUCGACGAAGAUGCGUCGUCUUUGGAGGCGGCAGAGGAGGAGGGAGAGGAAGAGGACGAGAAUGGCGGGAGGACGAGAAUGGCGGGAAAGGGCAAGAGAGACGUCGUCGUUGGAGACGGUAGAGAAAGUGAGAGGGAAAAAAAAAAGUUGCGGCGUGGCCUCGGCGGGGUGAGAGGCGAAGAAGAAGAGGGGUGCAUGGGCGAGGGCGAGGGCACGAGGGUGAGAGGGGAGGCGGGCCGUUUCCACCUCCGCCUCUACUGGCUUUUUCGGCGAGAGAAAAAAAAAAAUUAACAAGAAAAAAAAUAAGAGGAGAGAAAAAAUAUAAGAGUAUUUUGAUCAGUUUGUUGAAAAUUCAGAUUAAAUUUGUAAAAUCGAAAAAGACGAUUCAAUUUUGUAAAAGCUUAAAAUUUGUGAAUUUUUUAUGCACAUUGGCCGAGUUAAAAUAUAACGUGUCUCAUAAUUUAAGCACCAAACAUUACGGGAACCAAAUAUUCAAUUUAUUCUAAAAUAUAACAUGCCAUGUAUUGGGAACUGUUUUCUAUAUUUUAUCUUUUUAAUCUAAAAAAAAAAAAAUCGGUUGAGAACGAAAAUUUAUUUAAAUAAAAUAAAAUAAUACAAAAUUAAAAAAAUCUUCAAAAUAAAAAAGUCUUCAAAAGAAAAUCACUUAGACGACGUGACAUUCAUCCCGGAAUGCUUCCCAAAUGAUCAACUCGGAUUGAAUGUUUCCCAAAUAUUGAUCAACUCUGAUUGAUCACAACUGAACUGAAGUAUAUAUAUUUUAGCUAAUACGGCAAAAUAUAUGGAUGCUUCGUCACGGGUUGCUUUUCCUUCUCUACUUAUUCUCUUUCCCAAAUAAUUACGACCAGUUUGACCACGUAGGACAAAAGCUGUUAAAUAAAAUACUAAAAUAUUACAUGAAUUGUACUCUUUCAAGAGGCAUGAUAUGAAAACCUCACCAAUAGAUUCCUUUAUGUUAAGAACAUUAAAUUAAAGCUAUUAUUCUUAGGGCACAAAAUUCUGUGUUUAAUUUUCUUACAGCAAAAAGUUCAAAAUCUUUUUAAGAGAUGAUUAUUGUCGAAAUUAAGCAGAAGAAAAAAUAACUUUGCUUAAUGAAUCAUCUCUGAUAUCUCCUAUCCCUCCUUAACAAAAAUCCCGUUAAUUGCUUCAUAUGUAGAUCCUAUAAUCAAUUAAUCAUAUAAAUAUUUAUGGCAGUUACCUACUUCUCUUUUGAACCAAGUUUCCUAUCUCACCUAAUCGAGCCAAGAUUAAAACCAAACAGAGUAUAUUUGGCGUAAUUAUAAAUGCUUAUCCUGUUGGUCUACUUGGUAGUAAUUAAGAGCAUUAAACAUUUUCAACAACAUGAGAUCAAUAAUAUGAAGGGAUUAGUGCUCCAAUGAACAUCAGAAACACCUAAGUAAUCACAUCAUUCUACGCUUUGAGAAGUGUUACUUUGUUAUUUUUCAUUUGAGAAAAAGGAUCUGCCGUGGAAUAAAGUAACAAAAUGAUAAAAUUUACAAAGCAGUAGUAAAUUGUUACACUUUAUAAUCUUUACAAAGCAGUAGCCUUGGGCUUAACACAGCCUAUAAUUUUCACUUUACUCUCUUCUGAUCUCUAAAAAUUAUCUCAUUUUAACUGUCCUAUUUAAUAGUGAAUUCCUACAGUAAAAUACAAACACAAUCAAUAAAAUGGCAUAGUAAUAAUAUGCACUAAACCACUUAAGAGGACUAAUGAGAUGGAUAUUUACUCUAAAGGGCUUGUUUGGUUCAUCUAUUUUGGGUAUGGAAUGGGAAUUGGUUUGAACAAAUCCGGUUAAUUUUGUUUGGUUCGCAUGAAUCGGUUUGGAAUUCCUAUUUCGGACUGGCCCAUUAGCCUUCAACUUGAUUCCGGUCUUCUAGCCCGGAUUGAGAUUUCAUUCCAGAAGCCCACUAAGUUCUCGAAGCCCACGUGACCAUCUCACCCUCCUUCUCUUCACCCCUUUCUCAUCACAAAAAAAAAAAAAAAAAAAAAAAAAAAAAAAAAAAAAACCCUAUCAUCUCUCAAAACCCUAUUCCUAACCCACAUCAAUAAAAAUUUUUAAAAAUAAAUUUGAUAUUUUUUUUGGAAAACUUAUUAGAGAAUAGUAUUAUAGUUUUCAUAAAUUUUAAAUAAUAUAAAUUUAUAUUUGAGAGUAAAAUUAGUAUUAUAGUAUCCUAUAAUUUUUUUUAUUUUAUACAAACCAAACAAUGAAAUAUGAAUAACUCAUUCCAAUUCUCAAUCCACAAAUAAACCAAACGUCUUGGGGGAGUGGGCCAUUCCAAUUCAUUCUCAUUCCAUUAUCCAUUCUAAUUCCACCCUUGAACCAAACAAGCCCUAAAUGCUACCUAUCCUCUAAUAUGAAUACUAUCAGUUUUGCACUCUCCACUUACUAUUAUAAACUUUUAAUUGUGACUAACAUUCCAUGCCAUUAGAAAAACUCAAAAACUAGUACAGUUCAAAAUCUGCAAGGAACCUAAUUAUCAUUACAUUACAAUGCUACAUUAAUUGUUAAAUCUUCUAUCGCAGUCAAUAAUACAAGUUUUACAUCAUCCUAAAAUACAAACAUCAAACACUUCAACAGUUCCCUUCAUUUUGUAUUAUCCUAAAAUACAAGGUUUAUAUUAUCCUAAAAUACAAACAUCAAACACUUCAUCACAAGUACCUAUAACUACAAAAUCAGCAGCUCCCUUCAUUUUGGUUACUUGCGUAUAAAAUCUCAUGAAACUAUUAGCUGAUGAAAGGCAAAAACAGUGGACACAAACAGUAAAAUUUUCUCAGAGCUUUAUAUCAUAUGUGCCCAAAAAAGUUUAGAUGAAAUUAGGCUCCUUCCAUCUCAUUUAGUACUAGAAUAAGAUGAUGCAUCAAUUUUAUUGUGUCACACUACCAUUAAAUCAAUUACCUUAAGUCAAAAUUGCUUUAUGUUAGUUUAUUUCACUAUGCUUAAAGCUAACUUUCAACUAAUUACCACCUUAAUUAUACAUAGCAACAAGAAUGACAAAGAUGAUAAUGACCACCACCAAAUAUUAUCAACCACUAAUCUUUUAGUCCCAAAUAAUAUUGGUGCCAAAUGAAAUUAACCACCUUAAGUCAAAAUAAGUUUCUUAAUCUAUCUAAUUUAAUGCAAGUGAAUCAGAAAAAAAGUCACCAUCAUUCCCCAAGCUAUAUCUACAUCCUUAGAGCCUUCGCAAUAUGAUCGACUAAUUCCUGGAUUUCGAAUUUCAAUAAGAAUCUGAAGCAAAUAGCUGAUGACUGCAAAUGACCAAGGAGAACAGCGGGGAGACAUGAUAUAUAUGGUCGGCACCAGUUUACGUGGCCACCUCUAUAAAUAUUUGAUCAAGUUGGAACUGCUUUAUUAGUUAAAAUUACCUAUCUCAUGCAUGACCAAGUUUCCGAACUAGUCAACCAUGAUCAUCAAGCAGAACCAAGAACCACAAUGUAAAACUACUAAGUUGGAAGGGGUGUGAGCCUGAAUUUACUGAGAAAAUUGAAAUUUCUAGGAACCCAAUCUCCUCUUAAUCAACGGGAGAAAUAAAGUACCAAAUAGAGUUAGUAUAUCCAACUCAAAUUAAGAGAUAAGCCCAAAUCUUUCUAGCAGCCUUGCCAAAUAAACUAAUAGAGAAAGAUCAAAGUGUUAUACUCGCAAUGGAGGAACAAUCUCUAUAUUGUUUUCUUCGAAAUCUGCAAUGCUUAUUUUGUAGUAUUUUUUUUUUUGUCUUUAAUAUUGAAUAAGUUUGACUCUUGUGCCAGACACAUGUAACAGAAUCAUCAAGAAACUAUAACAUCACUUCAACAGAGAGAUUCACUACACUAAUGUAAGAAGUUCAAGGGUCAAAUAUCAAUAAUUAAGAGCCUUGAAAUUGUUCAAAGUUCAAGGAGUUGCCUGAGAAAAUAAAUCAAACAACACCAAACUACAAGAAGAAUCAAGUCAUCUGUUAAUUAGCUAGCUUCUCUGAAGAUUUCAAUAAAAUAAUAGCACUUACCAAAGUUCUAAGCAAUCUAAGGUAGCAAAAAGGCAAAUUACAAAAUUCCUUAAUUCCUUCCCAAAGCGUCAAAAUUCCAAUGCAAGUCAAUGGUAAAACUCAUGCAUUGACUUCGUCAUAUUCCACAACACAAACAGAGUAUUAAAUGGUUCAAAACUUCUACUAGAACUCCAUGGCUAAACUGCAGGAUAAGUUCUCGCCAUGGAUCAUUAAAAUACAAUUUUUUUCCCCAGAUCCUCAUACAAUCAACCCAAAAUUCUUACUGAAACUAUUAGUUUAUAUUCAAUAUGCCAACUAGUCACCCUCAAAUUAAAAAGAAAAUUACCAAAUAGGUGAUCACUCACGAGUAGCAUCAAGGGAAUAUAUAUAUAUAUAUAUAUAUAUAUAUAUAUAUAUAUAUAUAUAUAUAUAUAUAUAUAUAUAUAUAUAUAUAUAUAUCCAACAAAUAUAAUAUGAAAUGCAGCUCCUAAGGAUGCAAAAGCUUGGCGGAAUCAACACUGUAUUCUCUAGCCUAUCACUUAGAAACUCUGAAUCAAACAAUGUUGCACAAGCAUCUUCAUGUUUAUAAACACUUCAAGUUAACGCUAGUAGUUCUACUAGAACUACGGUGGAAAUUAAGAAGAAAGAAGGUGAAUUUUAAAAUGCAGUGGACAAAAAGAAAUGCAUCAUGAGAGGCAAAGAUACUGAUAAUUCAACCCUGAUUUGGAGAAGUCAAUUAACAUCCUUGGGAGCAACUUAACAAGAUCAUAUCAACUAUAGAAAUACAAUGCAACACUACAGGCAUGAACAAGUUACCAGCGAUUGAGACGAGACAAUUAAGUAGUCAAGGAGAAACAAACCAAGACGCCGAAGGGGAGGGGGCACGCCGCGCCCUUCAUGAGUUCCGGGAACAGCUGCUCCCGUGCGACCACCUUCGGAUCGCCGAAGCGAGGAAGUUCCUCCCGACCAUGCUGCUGAUGCGAGCCUUCCACGGCGACGUCGGCCGACUGGUACUACUCGUCGGGAGCUCGCUCCGAUCAACCGUGUCCGGAACCAGCUUGUCGUCGCCGUCAUCUUCUAAAACCCCACUCUCACUCACACUCCCUUCCUGCAACUCGGCGGCGCUGAGAUCCGUGUCCAAAUUGAUGGCCAGCGAGCUCCUCACGGUCCGCAGCCACUCGGCGCACUCCGGAGUGACCCCGCGGCACUUCUUGAUCUUCACCUUGACCAGUUUAGGGCAACCGUCGGCGAGGGCCCCCAAUCCGACGUCCGUGACGGGGCAGCCCUUGACGCAGAGCUUCUUAAGGGCGGCGCACUUGGCGGCGACGCAGGCGAGCUCGGCGUCGCCGAAGGUGUCGCAGCCGCAGAGGGCGAGGCGCUCGAGGGCGCGGCAAUUGGCGGCGACGGGCUCGAGGCUGCGGGCGGUGGGGUUGACGCCGAUGAGGACGAGUUCCUGGAGGUCGGGGCAGGCGCGGGCGAGGGCGGAGAGGCUGGGGUCGCCGAUGCGGUUGGUCUUCCAGCCGUCGAGGUGGACCUUGCGGAGGCGGCGGCAGCGGGCGAGGAGCGGGGCGAGGCCGGCGUCGGUGCACUCGGGGGUCUUCACGAGGUGGAGGACGUGGAGGUCGGCGCAGAGGGCGAGGGCGGCGAGCCCGCGGUCGCUGACCUGGAGCUUCUCGAGGUGGACCUCCGCGAGCGCCGGGGCGGCGGCGGGGAGCGCCUCGAGGAGGGGGUCCCAGUCGCCGGAGCAGCGGAAGAGCUUCAGGCUCUUCAGGUUGGGGGCGCCGAGGAUGAGCGGGGCGAAGCACUGCGCGUUGUACAGCUCCUUGAAGCAGAUGGAUCGGAGCGAGGACGAGGCCGGGGCCGGCGCCGCGGUGUCGCCGGCGCUGUCGUCGUCGUCGUCGUCGAAGAGGAGGAGCGGGGAGUCGAGGCCGCGGAGGCGCUUGAGGGAGAGCUCCUCGAGGAGCGGGCAGCCGCGGAGGACGGCGAGGACGCCCGGGGCGCCGAAGGAACAGGAGGCGACGGAGAGCUUGCGGAGGGCGGGGGCGGCGGCGGCGAGGCCGGACAUGCCGGAGUCGGAGAGCGAGCGGCAGGAGCGCAGCUUCAGGCGGGUGAGGGCGGGGCAGCGGAGCGCCACGGCCGCCAGCGCCGCGUCGCCGAUGCUGUCGGAGCGGCGGUCGCAGCGGAGGGCGAGGCGCGAGACGGCGCAGAACCGGCGCCCGAAGAGCGCCGGGGCCGCCUCCAGCAGCGCCGCCCUGGCGUCCACGGCGAUCCGCCGCCGGCUCUGCCCCUCCACGCCCAGCCACCGCCGGCACACCAGCGCGCACCGGUUGCGGUCGCCGGGUCCCAGCCCGUGGAAUAUCACCGCUAGCAGCUCGUCCGGCAGCUCCGCCGUGUGGUCCCGCCCCCCCUCCUCCGCCGCCAUGGCCGGCGCCGCCUCCGCCUCCUCCACCGCCGUCACCCCUCCGGAGGGGCAACUGUAGGGUUGUUUAGUGCGGAGCCCGAGCGACGAUGAAGAGGAAGAGGAGGUGGAUGAGGGAGCGGAGGCGAUUUGGCCCAUCGAUAUUGCUUUUCAGAAGAAGACGAAGCGGAGCGCCUCCGCCAUUUUCCUUUUUCCUCUUUUUUCUUUUUUUUUUUUUUUUCUUCUUUUCCGGAUCUGAACUCUGACGAAGCACUGGUUUGUGCUGCUGCCGCUACGGAGCGACGAGGCGGACUCCAAAUGGUAAUUAAAUCCGGUUGUUUCCCUUUUGUGCCCGGGAUUAUUAUAUUUGUCUUCUAAUGCUGAGGUUAGUGUUUCCGUAUUUAUUUGUUUAAUAAAUGGGAUUUUUUCCGGACCCAGGGGGGGGAAAAAAAAGGGAUAAAAAAUAAAAGGAAGAGGACUCAAAUGAAAGGAAAAGAUGCAGUGUUGGGAACACCUUGUUAGGGCCGUAGAGUAUAAGAGGGAGCCCUAUUAGUUAUUUACAUCUCGGAGCCAAGGCGGAUUAUUUAUAUGAGCGGUGAUGUGGACCGUAGAGCGGUCGAUGGGCAGAAAUUAUUGCAUGGACCGCGGUCUAUACAUAUUUUUCUUAAAAAUAAUAAGAGAAAAAGAAAUGGAGCUGGACUACAAUACUAUUAAUAGCAAAAGAUUUUUUUUGCUAUCACGUAAAAUUUUUAGAUUAAUUUCUUUCACCAUUUCUAAUUAUUGAAUUAAAUAUUAUAAUCCAGUGGGAACCACUCAAUCCUAAGAUAAUCACUCAACUCUAAGGGCAUGUUUGGUUCAUGAUUGGAAUAGAAAUGAAAAUUGGAAUUGGAUUAUUUUUGAAUGUGAAAUGGAAUGAUGAAUCAUCCAAAAAUGUUUGGUUCAUUAUUGGAAUGGAAAUUGGAAUGAAAAUUUAAAAUUUUUUAGAGAUGGUUUUGAUUAAGAAAGAAAAAAGUGAUGAAGGGAGAAGAGGUAGGUGUUGGUGAAAGAGGAUUUUGAAUAAUUUACUUUUGAAUAAGUCAAUCCUGAAUUCAAAAUCGGAUUGGAUCAUAAAUGGAUUUGGCCAUUCCCAUUCCGGAGUGGAAUGGAAAUUAGAAUUCGAUCCCUAUAAAACAAACGGCAACUAUCGGAAUCAGUGAAUUCCAUUCCAAUUCCAUAGUCUAAAAUAGACGAACCAAACAUGCCCUAAGAGAUUAAUAUUAUUCUAAUUCUAUAAUUUUUCAUCCAAAAAUUAAAAACUUGAUAGUGAACGAACUUUUUGCUAUUAAUAAUAUUCCAGCGCAACUCAAAGAAAUGCACAAAGGUUCAGUGUAGUUUAGCUAUUUUGUAAAUAGCUAUUUAAAGUUUUGUAGUUUGACCUCAUAAACUUUAUUAAGUGGUUCGGUUGGCGUCUUUUCGAAAUCAAAAUUACUAAUUAUACAGACAUUUUGAUUGCAUGACAUGCAUAUUACUUUAUAAAACUCUGAAAUAUGAAAAAUUUUAAUUUUUUUCUUCUGAUAGGUAAUAUUUUCUUAUAUAUUUUAAAAGUACGUCAAAUUAUAUGCAUAAUGUAUGAAUAAAACAGUGGUUGUAUAAUUAGUAAUUUUAAUUAAAAAGAGCGAUGUAAUAUCUGUAUACAAUUAAUUUUAAAAAAUACUUAAAUAUCUUAGCGUUAUUGUAGUAUUGAUAUUAACUGUUAUUAUAAAUUUCAAUUUAUUUGUGCCAUCAGAUUAAGCAGAAUCGAUAGGAUUUAAUUUGGAUUUUGAAGUUUCAAUUCUUAUUAGACUAAGAUUAGGAUUACCCUAAGGGUCCGUUUGGUUCGAGUUAUGUAAUAUUACAAAGUAUCUUGAUAUAUCCAGGUAUCUUAGAUUUCGGCGUGAGAUUACUACUGAUGCUGUAUUAGCGCGUUUGGUUUAAUAUAGUAAUGUAAUACUAGAUUACAGUAUUGAUAGCAUUAAUAUGUUUGGUUCAGUUUAUAAAAUUUAGUAAUCUUGACAUAAAAGUAUAGUUUUUCCCAAAAUUGCCUUUAUUGUGGUCAUUUGAAUAUUAUUUUUUGCGGAAAUAACAAAUGAAGGGAAGGAGAUCGUGAUGAUUACUUGGGAGGACGACGCAAUAGAAGAUAAUAGGUGUUCGUGCGAGAGAGAGAGAGACGUCGAGAGAGAGAGAGCGAGAGAAAGCAGCGUACGAGAGAGAGGGAGGAAGGCGAGAGAGAGAUGAAAAUAAUACUGUUAAUUAGAUUUGGAUUUAUUGGAGAGUAAAAUUAUCAUUUUACAUAAUAUGUAGUAUUAACGGGUUUCAGUAAUGCAAGAUACACGACCCACCUGCUAUUCAUAUUUUCGAUGUAAUCCUACUCAAUUUGUAAUGCUACAUUAACGACUAGAUUAUAUAGCGGAUUAACCAAACACAGUUAUCCUGGCAGGAUUGCAAUCCUGCCAGGAUAACUCGAACCAAACGCACCCUAAUAUGUGUUUGGGGAUGUGUACAGCUAGGGUUUUGACUGGCUUCUCUAUGUGCACUUGAGAGAGCGACGACAAUUGGGAACGAAUCCGGCAAUCGCGAGACGAGAAAAUGAGAGAGAGGAGUCCUCUUUAUUCUUCUCUCUUUCUUCAUCUUCUUCUUCUUCCUCUCUUGCUUCUUUAUUUUCCCAAUGUUGGCAAUGUCAACUACUAACUAGAGAUAAUGUAUAACUUUUAAAUAAAUUACAUUCAAAAUAUAAUAGUAACUAAAAUUUAAACGAGAGGGAAAAAAAAGUGUAAAAAGUGCGAUCUUUAUGAGAAGUUCUAGGUGUAAAGACUUUGUACUUGUCAGGAAAAAAUAUUAUUCCGUAAAAAUUAAACGUUCUCUUGUGUUGAAACAUUGGUGAGGACGUAGGAAAACUAUUGAACUUCGAAACAAAUCGACCACGUGCUUUGAGUUUGAUAUUUUCUAACUCUUCUAAUUUUCUUUUAUUGCGGUUCUAUCAAAUUUGAUUUUAUUAUAUUUUAUUUUAGAAACUUAAUUCACCUCCCCUCCUCUCUUAAGUAACCAUUAGGCUAACAAACACACAACCGAGAGCUAAAAUCCGCUGGUCUUUUAUUAGCGGACUAACAAUCACUAGGCUAAUAAACAUACAAGUAAAAAUCACUGUUCCUAACACAACUGGCAAAAGCUUGAUAGUUGGUACCCGAGGUCCCAAGUUGGAAUCUUAAUUGAUACACAUUUUUAGCUAAGUUUAUUUCUAAAUAAAAUAAACAAAUUGGAUAGCAUGCUACCUAUCUCUUAAUUAAAAAAAAAAAAAAAAAAAAAAACCAUACAAGUAAGGGCUUCGUUACAAGUUAAAUUGACAACUAGAAAAGCAACCAUUAGGCUAACCAGCGGGCGAGUUCUUUAAGUCAUUCACUUUAUUUUUGUCUAUUAGCACAUUAUCAGAGCUAGGCUGUUACACUAUCGGUAGCAUGAAGACCUCCGUACUAUCAAGUUGUUUUCAAUAAUACAGCUUCUAAGUCGAUGAUCGAUUCCGUUAGAUUUGAUCUACACUAUUGAAAGUAUAACUAAAUUUUAUAACUUUUCGACACUAUUCAGCUAGUGAUCAAAAAGUCUCAAAAUUAAUAAUUUUAAUAAUCGAUGUGAUAUAUUUGUGAAUUUAACAAGGUAAAACAAUCAUAAUUUGAUAAAAUUUUUAUUAAUUUUUUUUCACUAUUUAGAGUAAAAUUAGUAUCUUUAAUCUUAAAUUCAAGUCUUUUAUUAUUUUUUAUGAAAUUUUUAUUUUUAACCGUUCAUUUUUAGACUACGUGUUUAAUAGAUAAAUGAUAACAAAAAAUUAUGCAAUUCCCUUUUCAAAUACUUUAAUAGUGUAGAUCAAGUCUAACGAAGUCGAUUUUCCAUUUGAAAGCUGCAUCAUUAACAAAAAAUUAGUAGUACGGAGGCCUCCGUAUUAUCAAUAGUAUAGCAACCAAACUCCACAUUAUAGAAUAUUGAGUUGUAUUUUUUUUUCAUAGCAAGUUCGCAUGUCUCACUCUAAGAACCUAUUGAUUUUGACGAAGUGGGAAACUUGAAUGUCCAAUAUUAGUAACAGCGACUGUGAUAUUGAAUUCCCAACCUCUUAAAAGAUACACACCGAGAAUAAACAAUUACUAAUGUACCGAUCGUCCCUAAUGUAAGUGACAGAAUUUGAAAUUUGAUACCCAAAGUUUCAAGUUCCAAGCAUAGUUGGCUUCACAUUUUAAACUAAGUUUAUUUCUAAGAAAAUAAACAAAACGAAUAGCAUAUUAUAUUUCUCUAACAAAAAAACUAUUACAGAAUGUAUAAUUAAUAAAAGCAUUAAUCGUAUAUUUGACCAGGGCAGGAGCAAUAAUAAAGCAAUGCUGUCUAUCUAUUACUAUAUACUAAAAUGCCUUGGGGGUAAUAUCUCUAUGUUAACACGUGUCCUAUCUAUAUUUACUCUGCACCCGGUGUACCAUACAUCCUAUAAUAAUUUUUAUUUUAUUUUAAUAUAAAGGCAUUUAAAAUAAGAUAACAUAAAUUUAAUUAAUGAAAUUUUAUUCUAAAAUUUUAUUUUUGACAAUUCUAUCUAACAUUUUAUUUUGACAUUUUUAUCAGAUAAAUUUGCCGGUGUGUAUCACAUACACUAAGUGCACGCAUAAUUUGCAAUCGAGAGGAGUACUGUUUGUGGACAUGUGUCCAUCCAUAGGUGCACCCAGUGCACCAUGGACCCAAUAAAAAAAUAUAAUUUUAUUUUAGUGAAUAUAUUUUAAAAUUUAUAAAUAUUAAUAUAUAAACAUUUUAAAAUUUAUAAAAUAAAUUGAAUUAAUUAAAUUUUUAGUUUUGACAUCUCUACUGUAUAAGUUUACUGGUGCAUAUGAGAUGUAUGUGUACACUAGAUGUAGCCAAUGAACUCCACUAAAGGCCUAAUAUCUAUUGUGGAGCGACCCUCCAUUUCUAGACAAAUGUCCUUUCCAUAAAUUCGGUGUACUCGAUGCACCAUAAAUUAUAUAGAAAAAUUUAUUUUAUUUUAUUAUUUGCAUCUAAAUUUUAUAAUUUUUAAUAUGUAAAAAUUUAAAGUACUAUACAGUAAAUUUUCUUAAUUUUAUUGUUGACAUCUCUAUUAUAUAAAUUUAUUGGAGCAUUGUUUGUGGACAGAUGUCCAUUCUAUUAAUGCAUCUAGUGCAUCAUGGACACAAUAAGAAAAUUAUAGCUUUAUUCUAGUGAAUAUAUCUAAAAUUUAUAAAUAUUAAUAUAUAGACAUUCUAAAUACUAUAAAAUAAUUUGAAUUAAUUAAUUUUUUAUUUUGCCAUCCCUAUUAUACAAAUUUACUGGUGUGCAUGAAAUAAAUAUGUAUAUUAGGUGCAGUUAAUGAGUUCAACUAAAAAUCACUUUAAAUUAGACCUCUCAACUAUGUUAAUUUGAUUAAUAUCUCACCAAUCGUGAAUUAUUUCGAUGUGAGUUAUUUUUUAAAAUUGGUUGAAAAUUUUGUUAGAUUUAACAUUCUCAUUACCUAUCUACCAUUAAAUUAAUUAAAAAUUUUCUUUACUUUUUGUCAAUUAUCUGUUGGAAGUCCAAAUUUUAGAAAAAUUAUAUCUAAUUUCUCCAAAGUCGGUAUGCUUUAGAAAAUUUUAAAAUUUAGGGAACUCAAGUAUAUAGCAUACCAACAAAUAAAAUCCGUAACAAAAUCCUAUAUUUUAGAAUUAAAUAUUAAUACAAAUGUAUACUUAAUAAUAAUAUAUAUUAUAUUUUAUAAAUAAAAUUAAGAAUAUAUUCAUACAUCAGUAGCAAAGCGCGGGUACAUCGCUAAUAUAUUUAAAAAGUGAAUGUAAAUUUCAACAUCCUGCUUAUUUUUAAAUAUUAAAAAAUUUAUUUUUAAAUAAAUUAAUGUAAAAUUUAUAGUAUACUUUUGAAUGUACACGGCGCGUGUGUGCGCGUCCGCGCAGCUUACUUGUCCGAGCAAUUUGACGCGGUCCAGAAUCAAAGCGCGACUGAAGAGCAGCCCAAAAGUUCGCCAUGCGCGUCACGUACGUCUUUUUUUUUCCCUGGUUUUUUCUCCUAAAUUUUUCUCCGUUCAAAGCUCAGAGUGUAAGCACCAAACACUACUCAACGAGCUAAGAAUUAAGAAUAAGAAAAAGAAGAUGAGUACAAUAAACGUGGGCUCGGCUUUGGCCUCUCAUUUUAGUCAAAGGCAAAACAAUUCUUCAGUGUAACAGUUUGAUUAAUUUGAACACAAAANUGUGAACUAGUCAUUAGUGUUCUUUCAGCCUAUUAUUUUUUUAGUAAAUUUUUUGGCUAAUUUGCAUAAAAAAUUCACAAGUUUUGAGCUUUUGAAAAAUUGAACCGUCUUUUUCGAUUUUGUAGAUUCGGACUAAAUUUUCAGCAAACUAAUUAAAAUAUCCUUAUUCUUUUUUCUCUCUCUUUUUUUUUCUCUGGUUCUUUUUUUUUUUCUGUCCGAAAAGGCAGCGAAAGCAGAGGCAGUUCGUCUCGCCUCUGCCCUACACACCCUCGCCCUCGACCGCGCCCGCACCUCCCGCCCUCCUCGCCUCUGACCCUGCCGAGGCCACACCGCUACCUUCUUUUUUUUCUCUCCGACCCUCCACCACCGCUUUUGCGGCCCUCUCCGAUGGUAAUGAGGACGACAACGCAUUCUCUUCUUCCACAUCUACUACAGCAGAUUUUGUACCUACCAAACCCACUUCUGGGAACCCACGUCCCCACCACCGUCGUUGACGAUAAAGAGGAAGCACUUCUCGGCGCCAAAAAACUCGCCAGCGAGGAAAGAGGCACGCGGCCCACCCGCCUACGCUAUAGGGCGGCGGCGAGCGUGGCCUCGACGGUGUCAGAGACGAAGAGGGCGAAGGUUGAACAGGAGCAUCUCUAAAUUAGCACUUUUGUUUGUUUAAAAUAAAAAAAAAAAUUUAACAAAAAGCCAAAACUAGAGAAUAAUGAAGAAAAUCAGAGAAAAAGAAAGAAAAAAAUGAAGUUGCACUGUUAAGAUUAAAUUGCAGUAUUUUAAAAGAACGUCACAUUAUUAUGGACGUAAGUUGCACUCUUUGAAAUAUAAAUUGCACCCCUUAAAAUGAAAGUUGCACUCUUUAAAUAAAAAUUAUACUUUUUGAAAGAUAUUUAUACAAUUUUUUUUUUCUUGUUGCACUAUUUGAGAUGUAAACUGUACCCUUUAAGAGAAAAAUAGUGUAAAUAUCUCUCAAAAAGUGCAACUUUCGUUUAAAGAGUACAACUUUUAUCUUAAAAAAUGCAAUUUAUAUCUCAAUGAGUACAAUAAAAGGAGAAAUAGUGUAAAUGUCUCCCAAAGAGUACAAUUUUUAUUUAAAGAAUGUAACUUUCAUCUUAAAUGGUGCAAUUUACAUCUUAAAUAGUGUAACUUAUACCCAUAAUAAUGCAAUGUUCUUUUAAAACAGUGCAAUUUUAUCUUAACAGUGCAACUUCACCUUUUUUCUUCUUCUUCUCUGAUUUUCUUCAUUAUUCUCUAGUUUUUAGCUUUUAGUUAUUUUUUAAAAUUUCUUCUCUCGCAGAAGCUGUAGCACAGUCCUCAAGUGCUCCUCAUGCUCAGCAUCACUCCGGGAGUAAAUCAAGAUAUCGUCAAUGAAGACUAUUACAAAUCUAUCCAUGAACGGUUUGAACACUCUGUUCAUCAAAUCCAUGAAUGCGGUAGGGGCAUUUGUCAAUCCAAAAAGCAUGACCGUAAACUCAUAAUACCUGUACCGAGUCCGAAAAGCUGUCUUGGGAACAUCCUCGGCCCUCACCCGCAGCUGGUGGUAACCGGACUGGAGAUCAAUCUUCGAGAAGACACAAGAUCCUUGUGUCUGAUCAAACAGAUCAUCAAUGCGCGGCAAAAGAUACUUGUUCUUGAUGGUCACCUUAUUUAGCUCCCGGUAAUCUACACAUAACCUGAGAGAACCAUACUUUUUCUUUACAAAUAACACCGGCGCUCCCCAAGGCGAUACACUAAGUCUCACAUACCCCUUAUCCAUCAGAUCCUGAAGCUGCGCCUUUAGCUC